RNAcentral lists this long non-coding RNA (67532 nucleotides) under Podarcis lilfordi (Lilford's wall lizard). The stretch from base 3470 to 3527 matches the Rfam family "tRNA", at positions 8 to 63 of the family's 71-position model. The record is from RNAcentral. Lineage: Eukaryota; Metazoa; Chordata; Lepidosauria; Squamata; Lacertidae.
GAAACAGAUCUUAUACUGACCUUCAAUAUCUCAAUGCACCGUUCUUGGUGGAUGGAGAAUGGGCCAGGCUGCACAGUGACAUCUGUGACCCCAGCCCCAGACUGGGCACCGGAGGACCAUCGCUACAUCACUGUCUCAGGUUGUGUUCUUGAAUACCAAUAUAUAGAAGUGGCUCACAGUUCCCUACAGAUCUUUCUUGCAGUAAGUAUCCAAUUAUCUCCUCUUUCAGCACCCUUUUGUGUAGUAUAUCCCAACAGAGUACAAUGUAACUAUAUAGCUAGAUAGGCAUAGUUUAAGCAAUCAUUAAGUUUUAAGCAUCUGUUUUCAGUAUGAAUCGCAUUCUUAAAGGAUUACUGGUUAGUUGGCAUCUGUCUGUCUCAGGAGACAAUGGAAGAGUGCGCCUUUGGAGGUGAAGUAAAAUUGUUGGAAAGUUACAGCAUCUGCUGUUACUGUAGAGACUGAUAUGGGAAAGACAUGUUUUGUUGCAGCUGGGGCAGAUGAAGGCAUCUGGUUGUGCUGCUGUGGAUGCACCAAGGCGUUUCUUUUCUCUGCGCUCCUCCCAGUGGUCAUUUGUCCUCUGGUCACUGCUAUGGAUGCACAACCUUACUUCCUGUCUCCAGGCACUACAUUCUAAUAUUAAUAGAGGGUGAAAAGUUAAGCAGUGUACUUCAGAAUAACUGUAAACUAUAGGUCUGGAAUGCAAGCCUGAGGGUGCCAUGUACACAUUCCACACAACAUUUGCGUAUUACUACAAAAUUAGCACCAAAAUGAAUGCAACCCACUAGACAGUUAAUUGACACCUGCCAAAUAUGUGAGGAGCUCUCUCCUGCCAAGCUUUGUGGUCUAUCUGUGCAAUCCUAUGUUGGUUUAUUCAGUUUUACUUGAGCUCAUGAACUUGGUGCCUAGUAAAUGUGUAUAUAAUGUAGCAUUGAUGGCAUAGCAGUUGUGUGCCCAACAAUAAUAGCAAAUACCAACUGUGGGAGGGGUUAUACUGGAAUCCAACGAAGAGCUUGUCUCUAUUCAUAUGUGGACCCAGUAGAAUCAGUCAACAUAGUGUAUUGGAAAGAUUUCCUUCAGUCUUUUUUUUUUGCAUCUAGUGUUUCUAUCAUCUCUGUUUCUGCAGAUAGGAGAUACCUAAAUGAAGUAAUCCACAUAUAUGUCCUUCAGUUCUAAUAUACCAAAUUUCCCCUAGUUACUUUCUUUGGUUUAGAAUGACCACAAAUCAUUCUCGGUUUAGUGGUACAGUUCACUUGGUUCAAAAUGAUGGAUUCUUCUUUCUUUCUUUGGCUCCUCUGUUUGACCAAAACAAAUGUCUGAGGUAUGAGCUGGUUUGGUGAUAAAAGUAUAUUAACUCAUGUUGCUCUAUACAUUAAAAUGUCCUCAUUCACUUAAUGGCUAUUGAUUUUGCCCGCCUGUUUCAAAGUCACCAUUUCAUUUUCAAAUCCCUUGAGUUAACAAAUAUUAUUCCAUCAAAAUAAAAUAAUCUUAGUUGCGAUAUCUUCACUACACAUUUCAAGUCCUGAACAAUAGCCUUAUAAAAUGUUGACAAAGCAAAAAAUUAUUUUAAAAACCAUCAUUGUAUGACAUUUUCUUGUUGGCAUCUACCUGUCUUGGGAGACAAUGAAGGAGUGUGCCUUUGGGGGGGUGAAGUCAAGCUGUUGGAAGGUUACAGCGCCUGCUGUGACUGUAGAGACUUGAUGCAGGAGAGACAUGUUUUGUUGCAGCUGGGGCAGAUGAAGGCAUCCGGUUGUGGUGGUGCAGAUGCACCAUGGCAUUUCUUUCCCCAGUGGUCAUUCCUCCUCUGGUCACUGUUAUGGGUUCAUGACCUGUCUGUCUCCAGGCACUGCGGUCAUCUGCAAGCAGUUGAUGUUGCCAGCCUUCAUGUCACGUUUGCAGAGAAUGCCUGUGUUUUGGUUUGCAUAUUGUUUCUUAAACUGCAAAUUAGGUAGGUUUGUCUGCAAAUGCAAGCCAAAUUGAAUUUCCCCCCCCACACACACACACACUACUAUCUAUAUCCUUACAAUAGCAUGCAGCAGUUGUAGGAUGAGCAAGUAGAGGAUUAAAACAUUUACUCACUUUGUCCAUGUUCGUUUGCCUGUUGUGUGAUUUGUGCUAUUUUUUCAUAUUCUUACCAAUAAUUUCUGGGCCAAACAGCAGGAAUUUUCAUCCACUGUUGGGUUACCACUCUCCUGCACUGCAACAGUAGUGUUUUGGCUGGGUGGAUUAUACAAAUGUAUGGCAGAUGGGCAUAGGUCACAAACAUAUAUAAUUUUGUAUCCUUCACUCCAAGUGAUUUAUUUUAUGUUAAAAUAAGACAAGCCACCUAAUAUUUGCAAAGCGCAAUCUAUUGUCGUUAUAAAUCAGAGAUUUAUCAUUGACUCUAGUAGGAAGAAAAUCACACCUACAAACUGUUUUUACACAGAAAUUAUUAUUAUUAUUAUUAUUAUUAUUAUUAUUAUUAUUAUUACUGCCCUUCAUCUGAGGAUCACAGGGCAGCUUACUGUGUGUGUGUGUGUGUGUGUGUGUGUGUGUGUGUGUUUCUAUAUUUUGUAUAUGUUUCAACGUUAUCCUUUUGUAGGAAAACAAAAAUCAUUUUUGUGGGAAUUAUUUCCAGUUUACCAUUCACUUCUACCAGACUAAAGGGAUGAAGGCGAAUGAAAACUGCAAAGGGCCCAGUGGCUGUGUGUAGGGAUGGAUGGAUCUGUCAAUUCCAGUUUCUCUCAUUGUUCCCGCCUUGAUUUUAGUUUGCCACAUGGCUGCCUUGGAGGCAUGGCAUAACACAAAGCGGCUGCCGGAUCUAAAAGGGCAGAAAAGGAAACAGGACCACAAAAUGGAGCAGAUAUGCCCCUCAUCAACUCCAUCCCACCACCAGUGGGGGGGGGGAGGGCACUUAUAUCAGGCGCCGCCACUGUUGCUCACAGUUGAAAAGCACUUUACACCUCUGUUCAGUUCUUGGUGUCCAGUCCUGCCAUCCAAUGAAAUGUGGGCAUUUAUAAAGGUAUGUGUUUAAUGUAGGAAACACAGCCACUGCAAAUAGGAACUGAGCAGGAAUAGUGAACAUUCUCUCGUACACUGUGAAUUUUGGAGAGGAUAUUUAUUGAGACCUUUCACGGGUGCCAUAGUAGGUUCUCCUGGGCACACUGGCACCCAUGGGCACUGUGUUGGAAACCUUGUCCUAAUAUGUGUAUUUUUGUACACAUUGUUUGGUUUGAGAACUGCAUCACAAAAUUCACAGAAUUUGAAUUCUGAAGGAUGGCUGCAUUUCUGUUUGUAUAUUGUUUCAGGGAGCUUGAAAAUUAAAAUGCAAACCAAAUCAAAUGCCCCAUCCACCCGUAGCUGUGACAGAUGGAUGUUAUGUGCAGCUUGUGUACUGAACUCCACUGGCUCCCUUUUCGUGCUACAGGUCUCUGUCAUACUAGGCAUCCAGUGUGUAAACACACUCCCUACAGGGGAUAAAAUAAGCAAAAGAUAAUUCAGUCAGUAGAGCAUGAGACUUUUAAUCUCAAGGUCGUGAGUUCGAGCCCCACAUUGGGGGAAAGAUUCCUGCAAUGCAGGAGGUUGGGUCCUUCUGGCCCCUUCCAGUUCCAUGAUUCUAUUUGCGAACAACAGUCCUAAGUUGCACUAAUUGAACCAAAGAAAAAUUAUUUAUCAGCUGCCCUUCAGGUGCUCCCUCUUCUCUAAAUGCAAAUGUAAAUAAAUGUGCUACAUAUGCUACUAAGCAUAAUUCAACAGCACUAUAACAGAAAAAAUGAGCAAAAGUCCUUCCUUCAUAUACUGUAAAUACAUCAUCACUAACAACUUAAAUACAACCAACUACAAUAAUUUAUAUAAAGGCUGGCCAUUUCCAUAUUGAUCCUGCUGAAUGCCUUCCUAUAAAACAUGCUAUGUAUUGACCACAAUUUCUCUUUGCUUGCACUGAAACUAACGUAAUACACUGCAAGAAUUAUCAUGGUACCAUUACUAACUUUCCUUUCUGUUUAAAAAACAAAUCCCGUAAUCAAGUUAGCUAUUCUAGAGCUUUACAGUAAGUGCUUGCCUUUCGGGACAGCAUAAUUAAUUUUAGGGCUGAGAUGAGUAUUUGGGACCUUGUAGUUUCGGUGUGCAAAGGGGGCCUAAUAUGUUUCUCCAAAGUCCUGCAAAAAUUCAGAUUGUUACUGUAAAAGGAUCAAGCAUCUGCAACCUCAGGGCCAUUUUUGCCCUUAUUCUGAAUUACCUUUGAAUAUUACCACCAAGCAAAAUCUUAUUGUGAUGACGUUACCAUAACUAGAAGGACAGUUUUCAAACAAAAAGCAGCAGCUGAUUGGAGCUGCAAAGAGGUCAGCCAUUGGGAUGGUGCUGGUUGAAUGCAAGCGUUGCAGUAUGGGCUGCAUAGGUUAUGUGCUGAAGAUACACUUUUUCACCACCUUUUGUACUUCUCCUCCUGAAAAGUCAUUCAAACGUACCCACACUAUGCAUUUAAGGUGCACUUAUGGCACAUUCAAAGCACAUGACUUCACCCCAAGAAUUCUGGGAAGCGUGGCGUGUUAAAGGUGCUGGGAAUUGUAGCCCUGUGAGGCAUUAACCAGCAGCAUGACCAGGCCCAAAGGCAGACUGCAGUGGAUCCAAGUAAUAUCUUCAGAAGGACACAGAUUCUCAGUUCAGAAUCAUUACCUUAUGUUCACACUUGCAGAGAAAUUUCUAGAAAACCUUGUGGUUUCUAUGAAUCCUAGUUUCAAAACAAGUAGUUUUUAAAAUGCAGGUUAUGCAACUCUAAGAUCAGCAAGACAGAUCAACCAAAUAAAACAGGGCCAGCAAUGUGACACUGAAUGUACUUUAACAAACAGCUGUUUACUGAUUGUGGCAGAUGUUAUGGGCAUUGUCAUAUGGAUCCAUUCAUUAUAGGCUAAAUGGUGGAGUAGUCAGUGUUUCCUUGUAGUGGUGGGAUCCUAUUUAGAUCUAGGUCCCUUCCAGCUCUUUGAUUCUAGGACUUUGAUCACUGCUGGCACUUCUGAGCACUGGUUCAGAUCAGAACGAAAAGCUAUGGCUACAGUUUUAAGCAAGGGCACAAUUUCCCCCACAAACUAAGGAGCCAAUUCGGUUUGUAGAGCCGGUGGGGAAAGAGGAAGAAAUGUGACCUGAAGUCAAAUGCAGCUUGCCAGUAAAAUGAGAGAUAGCCUAUUCUUUUUUCUCAGGUCUAAACAAGAAGUUCCAAGGCUCAGAUUUAUUAGUCCCUAACUUUGGGACCUUUCCUCCAAUCUCUGGUUGGGAUUGGGCACUAAAGUAGAAGUGAAGACAGCCACAUAUGGCUGGCUGGAAGACAAACUUGCUUCCUUCCCUCUUUAGUGUCCCAGCCACGAAGGGCAUGCUCUUAGUUAUGAACAGUGCCUAGAUUUGGUUUGGUUUUUGCAACCCUGUUUGACUAGGUAUUGCUCCCAUUUCAUUGCAUUGUGUCUUUUGCUCUGAAUAUUUUGCUGUAUGCAAAUGAGAAAAGAGUCAGAUUUGUCAAAACUUCAGCUCCAGUGCCUGAACCACUUAAAAUCAAGUUUAUGAUGAAUGUCAGUAUGGUUACUUUCUGUUAACCCUUCUCAGAACAUCCAAAGACCUCUAGCACCCAGAUGGUGGGAGUGGGGGCAGGGUGGGUGUGACAAUUGUAGAUUUCUCUUUCGCUAGAAGAAAUUUUCAUUAUACUUCUGUCAAUCAAACACUGCAAGAGGUUUUCAAACAGCAGGUGCUAUCUAUAUAUCCUUGGCUCACAUCCUGCUGAAAUGAGUGGCUUUCAUGCCAACUUUUAUAAGGAACAUGUACAUAUUACAUAUCUGCAGCUUACAAGUGAACGUUCAUCUUGAAGAAUUUUCUUACAAUGUAUUGAAGAGAACCCACCAAGGCUUUCUGUGAAUCAACAGACUGGCAAUAAUUUGUCAUGUUAAAUGAACCAAGAUCUUUUGUAAUCAAGUUUGGGCUCACUGGGCAUGGUGGAGAAAAAGAACCUUAUUUGAUUAAGAUGGAGCUCUUAGCUAGGUCAAUACAAUUCUUUUAUUAUUAUUAUUUUUUAAAGCAGAACUAUUGAUUCUAACUGAUAUAGAUAGGUGCCAUAGAAACAAUAGUCCUUAAGUCACGAACGAGUGAAAUUAGUAGAAGGGAAGAAGCGUAUGAGCCACCCCCCACUGAUAAUGUAAUAACACCAUCAUGUCUUAUUAGCAAAGAAGUGACCAGCUUUAGGCUGCUGUGACAUUGCCUCAGAGCAUGGUAUAUUCCUGAGAGUCUGCUUCACAGUAAUAUUAAGGAAACACCUCAUUAGGGGUGGAAGUACUGAAAAAGAAGCUUCUUUUUUACCUAGCCACAUUAAUGUAUUGUUUAUCAGGUCUGAUUUACCUAGUCACCACAAGCCCUUCCUUUUUAAAGGGAAUUUCAUAUACAAAACCUGCCCUUGAUCUUUUACAAAGAAUUUUUAUUUUAAAUUGGGUUUGAUGGAAACUACAUAGAAUAAUUCAACACUUUUGUCAGCUUUGCAAUGAAUUCCAUGCCUUGGGCUCAGGGAGACUAAUCCUGGACUGUUAUCAUUUUAUCUUGCAGUUCAUCAUUACUAUAAUGUACUUGCCAAAUGACUUUCAUGAUGAUGGAUUGGCUGUAUUAGGAAGGAGGGCAUUUAUAUUGCAAGGGCCCUUGGGAAAGUACAGAAUGGUGCCUUGCACCCACCUAUAGAAACUCAGUGAGGGCUUCACUUCACUUAGUUGUGCUUCCCAUGUACUUCCCAUUACCUCCAGCAACCAGAGAAGGAACCUGGCAUCUUUACACAGUUCAAGAAAAGUAUAAUAAUAAUAAUAAUAAUAAUAAUAAUAAUAAUAGUGCAAGUGCACCUGCUUUUUGUGCUUCUUGGAUAAUAUAUGAAUAGUGAAAUCACACUUAUUGAGAUGUGCUAGUUCCCCAUCAACUCAUUACUAUGAAUGUCUCCAAAUGUGGGUGCACAAAUCACUAGGAUAUCAAUUUUGCAUACUUCCGGUGUAAUGUGCAAAGCUGUCCCUUGCUGUGCGUGUUUAUGAAUGAAAACGCUGCAUGUAUUAUAUAGAGGCAGGUUUGGGGUAGAGUGAAUGGUAGAGAGCAAAAAUAAUUAUGGUUCUCAUAUUACUUUCUCUGAGAGAUGCCUUUAUUAAGCCCAAGUGCAGAUUCUGUGGAUAGCAGCUAAUGGAUUAAAAAUUGUGGAAGUUUAAGAUGCAAUUAGAAAACCACUUACUAUGGAGCAGUCCCAAAGGCAUUCCACAAUAAGUAGUUUUGGUGAUGGUGAGAGUAAAUAAUCAGCUCCUGACUAUGUGGUUUCAGGACUGCAGUGUAAGUGGGAAUAAGAAUUGCAAAGUUGGAGCCUCAAACAUAAUGAAAUACCUUGUGGUAGUCUUUGCUUUCGCUUUUGGCUUCUUACCAAAUAAUAUGGGCCACUCCUUUGUAGAUAUGUGUAUUAGAAAGAGGCACAGUGAACCAGGAUAGGGUGUUGGACCAGGGUUCAAACACCAACUCAGCCAUGAAGUUCACUAGAUAACAUUGGACCAUUUCACUGUCUCUCAGCCCUACCUGCUUCACAGGGCUAGUGUGAUAGUAAAAGUAGCAUAGGGGCAAGGAAGCCUAUGCUUUUUUAUUCUCUCUUUCCCAAUCUAGUUCCCCUGGGGGGGAGGGAAUCUCAGGGAGGUCAAUACUGAAGGAUUAGGUAGGAAAGCUGCUGAGGGAAAAGGAAAUUGCCCCAAAUGAUACAGAAAUACCUUGCACAGGCAGAACUUGCCUCUUCUCCAGCAGUCUCCCCUUUUCUCAAGAGUGCCCCCCAAAUGUCCAGAGAGCUUUUUCAGAGGAUACAUAUAGCUAAAGGCAGGAGUGGGUGAGAAAGUCUCCUUGCAUAAUCUUCCUUCCAGUUGCACUACUUGGGAUGCAAACUUUAUGGGGCAUAGAGUAUGUCGCGCCCUUUGGGCAUGAUUUUGAUUUUUCUCUCCCUGAAAAGUAAGAAAAAUAAUAACUUAGUGGUGCAGUCAGAAGUGGCUAGCCUGGGGGUACGGAACUGCAACACUAGCUUCCCAGCAUCAGGGUUAUUAUUAAAUCUCUAUACCCCCCUUCAUCCAAAGAUCACAGGGCAUUUUAUAAUAUAAGAGUUUCUGCAGCUUACUAGGUGAAGAAGUUGGGACACUAUGGGCACAACAGCAGAAACAAUUUUGCACUGCACCACUUCCUGCUUCCUCAACCCUCUCCCAGGAAGUGGCAGUUCCAUUGCUGCCAGGAUGCUAGUCUUGCCCCUCUGCUGUAACAGGUUAGCCAUUUCUGAAUGUAGUGAUUAGAGCUCUAGACAAAGAGCAGGGAGACCAAGAUCAAAUACCCAUACUGCAACGAAGUCACUGGUGACCUUAGGCAAGUCACUCUUUCAGCCUAAUCUACAUCCCAGGGCCAUCUUGAGGCCCUUGGGGGGGGGGAAGGCAGGGUAUAAAUAUUAAGUAUUUAAUUAAUAACAGAGAGCUGUACGUUACAGUCACCAGAAUAUGCUGCUGAAAGGGGGGGGGACCCAUGGUGCGAUUUGCUCUGACACCUAGGAGCAAUCAUCACAUGAAACAUGUAACGAUAAAACAGUACCAUGAGUUGCGGUACACCCAUGACUGCAAUGGGUGGUGGUGAGAAUAAACUCACAGUGUGUUGCUGAUCAAUGCAGUGCACGGUCCUGUAUGUUAUGGCAGGAUGGCAGUAAAUUCAUGGGAUUGCUGAUGGCUUUGCAUGAAGUUCAUGCCUCAUUUCUACAAAAGGGGUUAGUUUGACUAACAUCUAUGAGAACCUUCGUCGUUUUUGUUAUAGGCUCUCGGGACCUGUCUUUAAAAAAAUUUUUAAAAAAAUGUUCUGCAGGCUUCAGUGAAUUAUCAUCAGCUAGUUACUAGAUUUUCAUCUGGUCUGCACUGUAGCACUGGAGCCUACCUUUUCUCAUGUCACUCACUAUGCCUUCUCGUGCAGGCAUUCCUUCAUUCUGCCUCUGCUGCUAGAAAGAGGCAGCGGCAGGCAGCUUGAAGUGAGCAGCUGUCCUCAAACAAAGAAGGUAGAAAUGGAAGAAGGGCUGUCGAAUCCAUAACAAUAAGCACAUCAUGACAUAAUUACAGUAAAUCUCCAGAGUGAUCUUUAUGCACAUAAUGCCAUAUGUUUUCAGAAGAGGAGAUGUGCCAGUGUGUGUAUUAUAGUGGAAUGUAAGCAUCUUUUAACAAUAUUCCUGGUAGUGCUGAAUUGAUUUUUUUUUUUAAUCCAGGAAAGUAGCGUAUAUGUGAUGAGAGAACAAAUCAGUUAAGUAAGCUGUAGGUAAAAUUUUAAUAAUGAUUUUUUUAAGGCUGAAGGGCAUAAAAAGACAAGAGGAAAUGAUUGACAGACAUAAUAAAUAUUGUCCUGUACAGAUCAUCAAUUUAACCCUUCUGAGCACUCAUAAGUAAUCAUUUUUCUUGUACUUUUGUAAUAUCCUUUCAUUAGGUUAUGCCACUAUGCUAUAACAACAGUUAUGGGAACAAUUCUUUAUUACUGGUAUUUUCAUUUCACAGAUGAAGAACUUAUUGUCACUCAUCUAGAUACUCUCAGUUCUUGUUUUUAUUUGCAUGUGGAAUAUUUACUGCAAAAGGCAGCACAAAUUGGGUCCACUUUAUUCUCAUAAACACUGUAUGUGAGAGUGACUCAAAAUAUUUUAUCAGAAUUUGAAGCUAGUUCACCCUGGUCCGAGUCCACAAUAUAUCCUUAAUGCCACUGUGUUGCAAAUGCUUUGUCACAGAAAAGCUCAAAGUUUUCAGGCACGCAACAACUUUUGCAGCACAAAUUCAUCGGGUAGAAAGCAUCCUUUAUUGACAGGAAACUGUCAAGGUUAUUCACAUACAAAAACUGGAUUGGGAGGAAACAAGGAAUUUGUGCCAACUUUGGGGGAGAACCACCCCAUAUUCUAAGUCAUGGAACCUGCUCAAAGCCAUUCAGUGAAUUCCUAAUUGAAGGUGCAUAUUUGGAUCUUCUAUACCAGAGUGAGGAAACAUUUUUUUUUCUUGCCAAAAGCCACAUUCCCUCAGAGAUAAUUUGUUUGGGGCUGUAUGCUAUUGGAGGCAUUAAUUUAAAAAGGGCAUGAUUGUUCAGCGUCUUUGGGAUUUAUUCUCUGUUUUUAUCAUUUCCACUGGAUGCUUCAAGGUGGGGGGGGGCCUGCAUGCCAGCAGGAAGUGGAACCAAAAGUGGGUAGGGACCCCCUCUUUUCAGUCUCUUACUGCCACCCCAUUCUCUCUCACUCUGUCACUCGCUCUCCCACUUCUUCCUACCUGGCAUGCUGGGGGCAGGGGAAUGUUCUUCCCAGAGGUCUGACUCAUCGCAUCCAAAGAGCUUUUACUUUUUCUUUCAUCUAUUUCAGAUUUCCCAUCUUCCCUCUUUCCUUCCCUCCUCCACUCUCCAAGCUUCCCAUCUCCCUGCAUGAAAUUAGGUCAAGGGCUACAUGUUGCCCUCAGUUCACUGGUUGGCCACCCAUGCUUUAUACAUUGUUUGACCCAGGCUACAAAUGCCAAUUCAAUGUCCUUCUAACAAUACAUAUAAUAGAUGUUUCACUGUUCAUUUUUUUCAGUGUCUUUGUUUGACUUUGAGUCGGUUAACAGCAUUUAAUGCGCCUACAUACAAAGCACUUGUCAAUAUAUGCAAUAGCUUGUGGUCCGUCAAAGAUUAAUAAACUGCACUCUCCAUGCCUGCUUCAGGAAAUAACUUAGUCUUCUGAAGAUUCAAACAGGAUGGUAUUUUGUUUUUUGUUUUUAAAUAUGGGUGGAACAGCUUAAAAACCAAUUGAUAUUUUCAGUAUUAGCUGGUUAGACUACCCUGUUUUUCAGAAGAUAAACAGCCUAAUGUCCAUUAGAAAGAAGCUGGCAGUGGACCUAAGUGGUAACAAAUCACAGAUCAGCCAGCUAAAGUUCAGUGACUCCAAAGGUUUACAAACUUCAGUUUUCAGGAAUCAAUGUUCUUUUUAGUUGGAGCGUUUAUAUUUGAUAUAGAGCUGUCCUAAAUCAAGAGGCAACAUCAUUCCAUCUCUUUUCCCUUAUUCCAGAAUUUUUAGAAUCAUGCUAGUCUGAAAUGCAUACAUACAGUAUUUGUUAUACUGAACCAUCACAAUGAAUGUUUUUUCUUAUUUAAAACCAAGGUGCCAGACUUGCUGUUGGGUAGUAUAAAUCCUAAAUGCUACAAGAGCCUAUGAUCAUACAAGCUUAGUGCAUCUUAGAUUUUCUACUCCCAUACUUCUUUGCCAAUCUUUUUGCUUUCUUAAAAUUCAUGUUUCAGAUUUCCUUGAAUAAUCAUUUCCUGAAAAGCUGGGCAUAGCUGUCUUUCCCAGUUGUCUGUGAUAGCACAUUAAUUAUUCUCACAAGAAAAAGUGUUUUGGCUUAACACAAUUAUUCCUAUGUUUUCAUCAUGACAAAAUGAAAUAAAUCCUGAGACUGAAUCUGACAUGACAUUUUAUUUUAUUUUUUAUUUUUUAAAUUUUAAUAGAUAAUUUUAUUCAAUACAAGUUAAAAUACAUACAUAAUCACAACAAAAGAAAAUACAAAAGAGAAAAACAAAUAUAUCUAUCCAAGGAAAAGGAAUUAGAGAAUAUUUUGUCCCUUUUCAUAUUUACAGUUAUUUAUACCUCUAUAAAAUGCUAUUCAUGAUAACACAGUGAAAUGAAAUGUAAGAUAUCAGAAUAAAGAAAAAGGGAACAAAAAGAGAAUAAAAAAGUAAAAAAACAGGUCAUAUAUGAAAAUUUUUUAAAAGUAGAUAAGUACUCACAAUACAUAGCCAUUUCUCAUCUAUAUUUACAUUCAAUUGUAUAAUUUCGUCUUGUCCUUAUCUACCUUAAACAAAUUGUUUCUUUUGAAAGAAAAAAAGAAAAAAAGAAAAAGAAAAAGAAAAAAACGACUUCCACCGUUUACCUCAUGCGUUUUUAAUAAUCCGUUCUUCAGAGCCUCUGUUCUUCAUAUUUUCCCUUUGGGUUUCCUUAAUUUCUCACUUUGUAUUUUUUUUAUAUUACGCACAAGAUUAUUCUAAACACAACCAGAUUUUUGUAGUUGAGCCCUGGUUUUGUAAAUAAUCAUUUAAACACUCCCAUUGCUUCAUAACCAUAGUUUUGGAUUUUCUCCUUAUUAUAUCUGUCAAUUUUGCUAAUUCCAGGUACUCGCAAAGUUUCCCCAACCAUUCUCUUUUUGUUGGGAUGCUUUCCUCUUUCCAAUAGCUAGCAAUCAAAAUUCUUGCCGCUGUUGUCGCAUAUAGAAAUAAGUUAAUUUUCUCUUUGGGGAUAUCUUUAUCUAAGAUUCCUAAUAAAUAUGCCUGUGCCUUUUUUUUAUGUGAUGUCCUUAUCAAUUUUUUUAUUUCGUCAUGGAUCAUGUCCCAAAAGAUUUUAAUCUUUGGGCAAGUCCACCACAUGUGAUAUAAUGUACCUUUUGUUCUGUUACAUUUCCAACAUUUGUCGUUGUUCCUUUUAUUUAUUUUUGACAAUCUGUCAGGGGUGGUUUGUAAAUUUUUUGUGUUGUUCUUUUUUAUCAUAGAAUAAGUAGCCGUGCCAUCCAUAUAUUUUGUCCCAGCCCUCUAAUGUUAGGACUUCAUUAUCUUUUAAUAAUAUCCAUUUUUUUAUCCAGCACCAACACGCUGCCUCAAAAUACUUCCUUAAAUCUGGCACUGCGAAUCCUCCACUUUCUUUUGGGCCCAUCAUUACUUCUGAUUUUAUCCUUGCUUUUUCCCCCCUGCCAUAUAAAAUUUGCAAGAUCUCUUUGCCAGCUUAUAAAAUAUUUAGUUCCUAUUACAAUUGGAAUCGUUUGGAAUAAAAAUAGAAUUUUGCGGAGUAUCAUCAUUUUAAUCAUAGAUAUUCUUCCUCCUAAUGAUAGUUUUAAUUUUCCCCAUUUGUCCAUACUUCCUUUAAUUUCUUUCCAUUUUUUAAUAUAAUUAUCCUUAAAUAAAUUUGUAUUUUUAUUUGUAAUCCAUAUCCUUAAGUAGUUCACUUUAUUUUCUAUUUUUAGUCCUGUUAUUUCUUCUAAUUCCUUUUUUCCUUUCUCGCCUAUAUUUUUAGUUAUCAGUUUCGAUUUAUCUUUGUUCAAUUUGAAUCCUGCUACUUCACCAAAUUCUUUCAUUCUUUCCAAUGCUUUAUUUAUACUUUCUUUUGGUGUUUCAGUUGUAAUGAUCACAUCGUCUGCAAAUGCUCUUACUUUAUAACACUGUGUCCCAAGACAUAUGCCCUUUAUUUCUUCAUCCUUUCUCAGAGCUAUUAAUAGAGUUUCUAAUAUUGUUAUAAAUAGGAGUGGGGAUAAAGGACAUCCCUGUCGCGUCCCUCUCUCAAUGUCGAAUUAUUCUGUAAUUUCAUUGUUUAGGAUUAAUUUAGCUGUUUGUUUUUUGUAGAUUGCUUGAAUUCCAUUCAUAAAUCUUUUACCUAAAUUUAAGCUUUCACAUGUUUUGAUCAUAAAUUUACAAGAGACACUGUCAAAUGCCUUUUCAGCGUCUACUAAAAGCAUUGAAAUUUCUUUACUUGGAUUCAUUUCGGCAUAUUCUAUUAAGUCUAUAAUUAUUCUAGUGUUGUCCUUUAUUUGUCUGGCUGGUAAAAAUCCUGCCUGAUCUUUUUAAUUAUCCUUUUUAGCAGAGUUUUCAUUCUAUUUGCAAGGACUCCAGUAAAUAUUUUAUAGUCUAUAUUCAAUAAAGAUAUUGGCCUGUAGUUUUUUAUAAGUCUCAAAUCUGUACCUUGCUUUGGGAUAAGGGUUAUUAAUGCUUCCUGCCACGAGUUAGCUAUUUCUCCUUUAUCUAAAAUUUCAUUCAUAAUUAAUUGCAAUUUGGGUGUUAUUAUUUCCUCUAAUUUUUUAUAAUAUGUUACUGAGAUUCCGUCUGGUCCAGGCAAUUUUUCCCUCCUUCAUAUUUUUAAUCACUUUUUUAAUCUCUUCAAGUUCAAUAUUUGAAUUUAAUAUUGGAUAUUCUUCUUCUUCUAUAUCUGGUCGUCUAUUUUCUGAUAGGUAUUUUUGAAUUUUCUUUUCCUCUUUUAAUUCUACUUUAUAUAAAUUUUUGUAAUAUUUUAUAAAACUUUCUUUAAUUUGUUUUGGGUCAAUGAUUUCCUUUUCUUCGUCAAUAAUUCUAUUUAUUACUCUUUCUACCUGUCUUUCUUUGAUAAACCAUGCCAGCAUCCUACCCGGUUUUUUGCCUGUUCAAAAUAUCUUUGUUUUGUCCAUAUAAUUUUUUUCUCUACUUCCCUAUUUAUUAAAUUUGAUAGGUGGGCUUGUAAAUUCUUUAUUUGUUGGUGGAUAUCUUCAUUCUUUGGGUUUUUCACUAGGUCUUUUUCUUUCUCUCUUAUUUGUUUAUUUAUUUCCAUAAUAUUAUUAUCUUUAUUUCUCCUUAUCUUUCCCAUUUGUUGUAUUACAAACCCUCUCAUAUAGGCUUUGCUCUCUUCCCAAAUCAUUUUUUUAUCCGUAUCCUGAUUUUCAUUUAUUUCAUAAAAUUCUUUCAAUAUUUCCUUUGCCCUUUUAACCCUUUGAUCGUCUCUCCAUACCUCCUUGUUCAUUCUCCACCUUCCCUUAGUAUGAUUUUGAAAUUUCAUUAUUACCGAUACCGGAUUAUGAUCUGAUAUCGAUCUGUUUAGUAUUUCUGCUUUUUCUAAACUUAACAUCAGCUUUUUUGUUAGCCAUAUUGCGUCGAUUCGUCCCCCAGAUUUUUUUGCCUCCAAGUAAUGGGUUAUAUCUUUAACAAUUGGGUUUUUUGUUCUCCAGGCAUCAUAUAAAUUAAAAUUCUCAAUUAAGUGGAAAAAGGAGAGUGGUAAUCUACCUGAACUUGAUAUUUUAUCUCUUUGCGUUCUGUCCAUUUCUAUCGAUGUUACUCCAUUAAAAUCUCCCAUAAUUACUAUAUUUUCAUCCACAUAAUCCCAUAAUCUCUCAUCCAACUCUAAAAAAUUCAUCCUUUUUGCUAUUCGGAGCAUAUAUUCCUACCACUAUGAUUUUUCCUUCUUUUGUUUGUAUUUCUACCCCAAGUACUCUACCUUCAUCAUCUUGGAAUAACAUUUGGAAUUUCAACAUUGUAUUUACAUAGAUGACCACUCCCCUCUUUCUUUCCGUUGCAGAUGCUAUAUAUUCCUGUCCUAGUCUCGUAUUUUUUAACACCCUUACAUGAGUUUUGGAUAUAUGUGUUUCUUGUAGACAUAUGACAUCCCAUUUUUUCUUCUUUAAUGUACAUUCUAAUUGAUUUCUCUGAAAUUUACUGCAUAAUCCAUCCAGUAGUUUACUCUUCUAGUUUUUCCUAAUUUUUCUAAUUUCUAGUUUCAGUUCGUUAUUCUUGCUCAAUCUGGUGUAUCUAGACACGCUUUUCUUAAAACACCUUGUGCAAUUAUUAACAGAGGGUUUUCGCAUGAGGCGCACGGCCCCCUUCUCUGUUAACUGUUCAGUUCUGUAGUUCUCUUUACAAACUGUUUCUUCCUGCCUCCCCCUCCCUCCACUGAACCGGCAGAGGUUUUCCAAUUAUUAUCUUCUCUUUCAGUUAUUUACGGGGGAGGCAUUUGCUUUUCACAGUCUCCUUUUUAAAGGAGUGUUCAGCGCUGCCGUGCCGGGGAAUUGGAGCGUUUGUACCAGAGAGUGGUUUUGCCUCUUUGCGCAAAGGUCUUCCCCUCGUCUUUCUAUUUCAGUUUCUUUGUUCUAUAAUAUUGCGAAACCUCUUCUUUUGCGCUGCCUUAGGCUUCCGCCCUCAGGUUCCACCCCUGAGGUCGAGGUAACUUAUGCCUAGUCCCUCGUUUCUCCCUCUCUGGCACCAGGUCCACCUCGAGAUUGCAGGAGCGCGGAUCUCCACCCGUCUCUCUAGCGCGCUGCUCUUUUAAUGGCACAAACUUUGCUCCAUUAUCUGUAAAACAGUGAAUGCAGGUGUCAUCCAGUGUCUAUAAAUGUAACCCGAAAAGCAGCACUUUAGUCUAUGCAAACCAUAUACAGUGGUACCUCAGGUUAAGUACUUAAUUCAUUCCGGAGGUCCGUUCUUAACCUGAAACUGUUCUUAACCUGAAGCACCACUUUAGCUAAUGGGGCCUCCUGCUGCUGCCGCACCACUGGAGCCCGAUUUCUGUUCUUAUCCUGAAGCAAAGUUCUUAACCUGAAGCACUAUUUCUGGGUUAGCAGAGUGUGUAACCUGAAGCAUAUGUAACCUGAAGCUUAUGUAACCUGAGGUACCACUGUACUGCAGUUCUAGAAGUAAGUUACCAGGAUUAGUGAAACUAUACCCAUCAAUAUCACUGAAGGACAAAGUUGCAACUUAAGUUCUGUUUUUUCCUGGGCACUUUGCUAAUCAAAAGGUCCACCACCAGGUUCAGAAUGCUUGAGAACAAAAGCCCACAUUUGAUCUCUAUGUCCUUUGUGGUUGCAGAAUAAGAACAGGUGUAGGAGUGGAUUAAGAUGAGCUUUCCUUUGGGGGCAGGUUAGAAGCAAUUUCAACUUUUAGCUGUAUCUUAUGAUGAUUUAAGAGAUCUUUUGAAGUCAGGUUAUACAGUCGGAGAAAUCACCCUUUCAAAAGUUUUGUAAUUCCUACUUGAGCUAAGAAGCAGCUCUAUCAAAGGUUUGAACCAUGCUUAUUGAAACCAAAGGCAUUGCUGGCAUGCAUUGAAUUACUACCAUGUGACAAGCUGUGUUUAACCAAAAGGACACACUACGGAGCAACUUUUUCAUCUUAAUGAGGAAGCUAAUGUAUCCAGCAUGACAUGACAGUAGAAGAUGGACGAGAGAAAUCAGUCUUCUAGAGUGAGCAACAACAAAUAGCAGGGCAGAAAGGGGAAUACCAGGAUGAAUGAUGUUGCACUAAGUAAAUGCAGUUACACAUGCGCUGGAUUAAUUACCAAGUUCUGCAAACAUAAGCAGGAAAAUAGUCUUAUUUAGGAAUCACUACCAGGGAUCAAAAGAUGUGCUGUGGCAAAUCACGCAAAACCAACAUUAUGAAUCCCUGGAAAGUCCAAUGCUGCAAAUUCAUCACAAGCAGAAUAACUGUAUGCAAAUUGCACCAAUUAAGCAAGCAGUAGUACUUUGAUCUAUUUGAUCUAAUAAAUCAGUAAGAGUUAAUCUAUUAGACAUCAGCAGAUGAUGCUAACAAUUUAUUUGAGAUGCAUUAUUCUCGGGUCUCUGUCAUAAUAGAAAAAAUAUUACAAUAGUAAUAUUAUGAGAUACAGGCACACAGAAAAAAUAAAUUGGAAUUAGAAAGCAUGGAGUGGUUUUACAUCCUAGGCCUAUGACUGUUUACUUACAGGUAAGUUUUACUUUGCUAGUGGGGUUCACUCCUGGAUUAAGUGUACAUAGGACUGCAGCCCUGAAGAAAGCUGGCAACUACAGAUCCUGUCUGCUCUAAGUGUCUUCAGUGGAUAUGGCCCUCAUUAAAUUACGCUCCACAAAAAAAAGGGUUUUCCAAUACCGAGCUGCCAGCUAUACCUGGGGAAGGUACAGGCCAAAGCCAAUGAGCAGCAGUCCUGUGCAUUCAAAAGCUCCUCAGUGAUAAGGCAGCACUCCUGGAGAUAUUGCUGGGACAAAGAAGAGGGUAGAGGAAGAAACCAAUCAAGCAUUGGCUGGAGGAGCAUUAUUCGUGGACCCCUUGGGACGACUCCACAGCCCCCCACAGAUCCACAGGCCACACAGGUUGGGAACCACUGGUUUAAGAAGCAUUAUAUUUAUGUAUUAUUUAUUUAUUUGGAGCAUUUAUGUCGUGCUCUUUAGCCAAAAGGCUCCCAGAAUGGCUUACGUAUAAUCAAAAACAAGACAGCGCCUACCUACAGGCUCACAAUCUUACAAACUAUGACACACAAGGGAAAGAGGACAAGGAGGGAAGAGGAAAGUCAAAAUCAAAACUCAUUACCUCCAUGUGAGAAGUAUAGACCAGCAGGUAGAGGUGAUGCUUAACCAUUUAUCUCCUGGUGUGUGUUUUUUUCUGAGCAAAAUCCAUUCCCAAAGUUCUUUUUCAUUCUGCCCCCUGCAAAGUGUCUGGUUUGGUCUGAAGGUAUUUACAGUGGUGCCUCGCAAGACGAAAAGAAUCCGUUCUGGGAGUCUCUUCGUCUAGCGGUUUUUUCGUCUUGCGAAGCAAGCCCAUUGACGGGAUUAGCGGAUUAGCGCUAUUAGCGCUAUUAGCGGCUUUUAGCGGCUUUUAGCGGCUUUUAGCAGCUUAUCAGCUUAUCGGAUAAGCAGAUAAGCGGCUUAGCGACUUAGAAAAAGAGGGGGGAAGGAAAAAAAAACCCAGGAACUCGCAAGACAUUUUCGUCUUGCGAAGCAAGCCCAUAGCAGAUUCGUUUUGCGAGGCACCUCCAAAACGGAAAACUCUUUCGUCUAGCGAGUUUUCCGUCUUGCGAGGCAUUCGUCUUGCGGGGCACCACUGUAUUGUCCAAUUUCACAUAACAUCAUUAUGGAGACUCCAGCCUUUGUAUUUGUGAAAAAUGAUUUGUCUGUUUGUUUAUUGUUCUAAGUCGCUUUGAAUUACUUUGGUUAAAAAAAAAGGUAACUAGUAAAGUUUAAUAAAUAAAAUAAAUAAAUUGUCCCUGCUCUCAUUAUCAGGCAGUUUUAUCAGUUUCCAUCAGUUACUACUAUUCAAUAUGGCAAGUACAUGUAGGCACAAUUUAAAUAUUUUAUUUACAAUCUGUAUAAUUUUUACCACAUAACAGUAAAUGACAUAUCUCACUUUGGCAAAUCAAAACUUGAAAUGUAAAGUAAGGUGAAAUUAAUGUGUGUGUGUGUUUAAAAAAUGCAAAUUGCUAUAUUAGCAAUGGUAAAAUCACUUUUUCAGGCAGGGAAAUGUGCUGCUUGUAUAUUGAUGUGUUGUGCUAUUCACUGUGAACUAAUGCUUUCCCCAGAAGUUAAUUAACAAACUGCAGGCUUGCAUUGUUGCAUUACCUUUAUUUAAAAUGUGAUGCAUAAUGCAAAAUUGGCUCCUGGAAGCAAACCUAGAUAUCAUUCAGCAAGUUCCCUACACAAUGCAGAACUAGAGAUGUGCUACAAGGCAAUAUAUGACCUUAAUUUAUUUUGUUUACUGACAAAUAAAUGCCUCUAAAGCUGUAGAGAUAAGCAAGCUGAGAUGCUGUGGUAUCUUGCUAUUUGGAAUGUUUGUUCAGUAAGGAAAUUUUCAUCUCCUGUCGCAGAAUAAUGCACCUGUGACCAUAGCAGCUGAUUGGAACUGGAGUGGAUGCACAGAGGCAGAUGGAUUAAAACUGUCAUAAUUGUGGGGUUUCCUUCCCCCCCCCUUUCCUGGAUUAUAAUUUUAACAGGCUCCAGGUGAUUUCUAUUUCUUUGUAGCAUCACUCAUCUCAAAUAAGUCCCGGCAGGCUUGGAAAGAGAAGAUAGAUGCAUUUGAAUUCCCACCCCGCCCAUAUGAACCGAUUUGCAUUGUGAGCACUUAAGAGAGUUGUGCUGUGAAAAAAGCAAUUAGCUGCUUUAGUCUAGGGUGCCAUUUAGAAUAUCCAGGUCUGUGCGCUUCAACAUAAAAUUGACCUUUUAAAUUUUUUAUGUCUAAGAUUCUCCAUAUAUAUAUAUAUAUAUAUAUAUAUAUAUGAUAGAGCCUAGAUGGCAGGAAAAAGAACUGGUUGCACAUAUAGAAUUUAUUAAAAGACGUCUAGCCCUAAAGUACUGCUGCAGCUUUCUCCCUAUUACUAUGAAUACCAAGCAUAUGGUAUUGCAGCCUUAAUGUUUAAAUAACUGAUGUAAUUAAGUAACAUAAUAGCACCAUAGAUAGAUAGAUAGAUAGAUAGAUGAUAGAUAGAUAACAUAGUCAAGCUAUGCUCAAGGGAGUUAACAGUAAUUUUUUUUACAUGUGGCUCAGAAACUUUGUGUCAUCCUCAUUACACCACCAUCACCAUCAUACACACACAUACACACACACACAUUUGUUUUGUGAUCGUUGAAAGAACUGCUCUAUAUUGCCACAGUCUUGUGGCCGAGAAAUCCUUCCAUGUGGCAUGAACAGCAUGUGCAGGGGGCGGGGCGUGCUGUGUUGUAUGUAAAUGUCUUUGCCAAAUGGAUGUAUCCACUGCUGUUGUCAUGGCAGCCCAGUAGGACCAAUCCACACAACAAGCAUCUUAUGUUUGGCAGGACCUAUUUAAGAAGAUUGCUAUGUGGAUUGCCCCUGAUGGGCUUUCACACCACUGGACAUUCAGUUGCGAAUGCUCGCAAUCCCAGGUGGCUUUUUUCAAAUGUCUUAAAAUGGUUUCCCUCACAUUUCAUAUAUCAAGCAUUUAUGAGGGCUGAGCUUCAAUUUGAGGGUGGUUUCACACAGGGCAUUUUUAAAGUGGCACGGGUAAUGUAUGCAUUCAACAAAUGCAGUUUUUCAACCACAGUGGGUUACAACAUGUCAGAAAACCCAGGAUUGGCUUGGGCUUGUUGCUACAUAACAUUCAGUUGAUCCAGAAGAUACACCUAUUUUCUGCCAUGUGGCAUGUGAAGUAUCCCUUAAUCAGAGGGUGUCUAGUGUAGAAGUGGAUUGGCUGGUAGAAGAGCUACAGAGUCUUCAACCUGGAGCAGGCACCUUCUUGCAGAAUGCAUAUGUUUAAGUUAGUUGCUUUUGUAGCACAUUUGUGUACAUGUUGCUUUAAGAAGUAUGGCAAGAUUAUAUUUCUGCACAUGCUCAAUAGGAAGCUGAAGUGUAGAGCAGCUACCUUUUUUCUUUUUCUUUUUAGAAUUAUACCCUGCUUUUCACCACCUGGGUCUCCUUGGGCCACAGGGAGAAACAAAUAUGAUUUCAUUUGCCAUGCAGUUAGGAGCUGGUGUUUAGAUAAGGAACAGUUGGUCACCUCCUUACUGUAAAGCCCACAGGAGCAGGCCCUUUUCCUUUACAGAGCUUGUUUUAAGAAGCCUGCUUUGGAACAGCAGAGAGUGAAGAAUAAGGUUUCCUCUUUGUGAACAGCUGGACUAAACUGCAAAAGUAAACUUAUGGAACUGUUAGAGAACCUAAUAAAAGAGAUUACAUGGCAUUAUUCUGGAAGAGAGAACUUUAAGUCAUCUAAUGCAUGUUUUAUUGUGCCAUUUACAUAGAAUCCAGACAUGCAUAUAUGAUCAAGACAGUAUAUUGCUUUAUUUAUGAAUGUUGCAUCCAGUGCUUUUUUCUAAAAAAAAUGUUUAGGGGUACUCUCAUUUUCCUACUCAUAUUGAAAUACUGCCCCUUAAUGAGGCCAAACUUAGAUUCACAAAAUGUUUAGGGGUAUGCGUACCCCUGCCUCCCUCUAGAAAAAAGCACUGGUUACAUCAUGUUUGGCUUUGCAUCAGUCCUUCGUUGUAGGUCCCUCCAGAGACCCUGAAUUGGUUGAAAUUAAAUAAAAGCAGAACAGAAUUUGGGAAAGAGUCACACUUUCACCAUGUUUGCUAUGACUAGGGGUAUCGGAUGCAAAUAAAGGAAGUGAAAGCUUUAUGUAGAAGAGAAUUUCAGGAGAAGCAUUUUUUCACUUCCUCUGUAAGACAGACUGCACCUGCCUGAGUUCUGUCUUUUAUAGAUUAAUUAAAGGUAGUAGAGCUCUAUGUCCCUUUUGUAUAUGGCCAGCCUAUCUGCAGCCAUUUUAAUUUUCCCAGCUCAAUUGCUUUAGCUGCAAACUUCAAGACAAGAUUUAGGUUGGUGUGAUGGUAUCAGGUAGCAGUAAUAUUUGACUAUUCUCUCUCUCAAAUGAAGGUGAUAUUUCUUUUCACUUCUCUGAGCUAGUGGUGAACAGAUGGGAAGGAGGGGACCAUAAUAAAGAAUCAUACUUUAUUAUGUGGUGGAUGUGUGUGUUCCAUUUAGAAUAUUGUUGCAGCUGAAAACAUUAAAAACUGUUUAGCAGAGCACCUUAAUAUAUGAGAAGGAAAAUGGUGGCAUAAAUAUCUCCAUGACAAAUAAAUGACCACGUGAAAUAUUUUUUUUUAUCUAGGCCACCAGUUCAAAUCUAGCAUGAUUAAAAUCAAUAUAACUGUGUGCAACAGUUAUAUUCCUACUCUGGUGAUUAAUUACUGAAAAUCCAAACAAUAGUUUAUGCAGUUACAUUAAAAGCAAAAGAGGAGUCACGUGUAAGCCAGCAGUCAAUAAAUGUGAACAAGAUGAAAGGCUUGUUCUCACUAGUUAUACCCUAGGCAUGGAUCAGAGCCAGGAGGACAGUGAGAAUUGGAAGUGUGAACAUCAGUCUGUCGUGGAGUGUAGGAAUAAAAAAUAGACCAGGAUCUUCCUUUGAGGAAACAUAAGCCAUAAACCAAAAGCACUUUCAAAAAGCCAAGGUACACUGUAAGUGCUCCCACUGGAGUUUCAAAGGUAUGGCAAGGAAGAAUCAAACAGAGGGAUGUAAGAUGCUUAUAAAACUCAGUUUCGAAGCAGAAGUGCCAGAGAAAGAGCUUGACCUGGAUCAUAUUCUGGACACAAAAGAAGAUCAGAACCCCUGACAGAAAACCAGGACCCAUGAAAUACUUCUGGAAGCAAGAGAGCAGGAGCUCUGAGAGCAGAAGAGAGAAAACAACAGCACUGUUGCUCAGUUUGGGAAGCCUGUAUGUUUUUCAAGCCUAAAUGAAGAGGAGAUUCCCUCAAAGACUCAGCUGUAUCACACAAAUAUUCAAGGCAUUAUAGGAUAUUGGCAGGAUAAGAAUGGAGUAAAGUGUCACUGAAAUGUCCAGAUGUAAGGUGUUAGCCAUGAAAUGCUACAGUUCGCUAGCAGACCUGAGAAACAGUACUCUUUAUCCUCUAGUUCAGUAGUGGAGAAACUGGUGCACAGGCCUGAUCUCUCCCCUCCCUUCAGUAUUUUUAUGAUUUCCCCAAGCAGCAGAAACAAAAAUUAUAUUGUAUGGACUGCAUUGGUAGACAUUUUGCUUGGACAGAGCUGCAUGGAGUCUAAGCUGUACCUAACUAGACCAGGAAUAGUGCUCUGGACUCAUCCCAUGUAUUAUAAGCAGAUGUAUUAUAAGCUGAAUUUUAAAUAACUCCAUAAAGACGUUAUUAAUUUCCCUGCCCCGUGCCUUUAAUGAAGUACUUAUCUCAAGUGCUCUUCCACCUUCCUGGAAAAUGUCUAAAAUGAUGGUGAUACCUAAACCAAAUGGGGGGAAAUCAUAUAUUUAGAAAGUUCUAUUUAACUUGCUAAGAUACCUAAAUAUUCACAGCUUCUUUAGCAAGGAACUUGAAUACAAUAAUUAAUCAUGCCACAGUGAAAGAUCAGUGUUGUUUUGACCUUACAAGACAAUUAAUGGACAAUGUCAGAAAUACUUUAAAUGUACUACAUCAGGCAGAGCAAACAAAAAAACUGACCUAUUUGUAGUCUUGUUCGGUGAUGUAGACAACAGACAUGAUAGCAAACAGCUUGGGCAGCAUUUUGGAAAUAACCUUCAAAAUUUCUUACAGUUUGGGUCUAUAUUCUUGAGGACAUGAACUUGGUACACAGCUAGUUAAAAGCCACACUAAAGAAAACUGUCGCAAAGCUCAUUUGGGUGGGGUGCACAGGUGGACAAUAGCUCUGCUCUGUCCAGCUUAAAAGCACACACACACUUUCCUCAGGUGGAGAGCACAAAGGAACCUGUAGCAGAGCACAAAGGAACCUGCAGCUUCCAUUCACAAAGUUAAGCUAAACAGGUUGGUUGAUGCUGCAUCACUGAGGUGUUCCAAGUGUUGAAGUGUCUCUCCUGGUGUCUUCAAGUCUUCCCUCAUAGAAGCUUCUGGCCCUUGGAGCUUCAACCUGGACAACCCCUCUGCAGUGCAACAUGGAAGAAAGAGUGCUCAGGCAGAAAUCUUUUUGUUCUGGAAGCCUCCUAAAGUUUAAAUUUUGGGCAACAGCUGAGGGUUAGAUUGGCUACUUCCAUCCAUGCUGGUCAGGGCAGGCCCUGACUCCCUCUCACCAGGGCUUUGUAGUGACUUUAGGGCUCGGCAGGGGAUAGCCUAGCUACAGUGUAUAUAUGUCCCCUGUGUUUUCCCAGUACAUUUAUAACAAUAGGUUGGAUCCAGACUUAGUCAUAUUUGGGGCAGAUGCAUUGAAAUGAAUGGGGCAUAAGUAAUGUAAUGACCAACUGUUUUCUUUUUUUUUUUUAUAAGAUAUUUAUUAAGAUUUUUAGAAUAUUACAAGACAAAAAAAGAAAAAAUACAAAGUAAAAAAAGUUAAAAACAAUUCAUUCUUUCCAUUACUUAUCCUUCAUUUGCUUAUUUCCAAGACCUCCUCACACCUCCCUUUUUUGUAUUCCAGUUCAGUUAUUAAUUCAGCAAAUCCCUCCCCUCUUUAUGUAUCCUAAUCAUUAAUCAUAAGAUAUUGUAAUUUUAGAUUUUUACCUAUUAAUGACCCAUGUGUUCAUAUUCUCUUAUAACAUUUCAGCUAAAGACCACUUAGUUUCUAUCCAACAUCAUUCUAACAUUCAUUAAUUUUGCAAUAUUUCUGUAAAUAGUCUUUAAACUUUUUCCAAUCUUCUUCCAUCGACUCUUCUCCCUGGUCUCGGAUUCUGUCAGUCAUUUCCGCCAAUUCCAUAUAGUCCAUCACCUUCAUCUGCCAUUCUUCCAAGGUGGGUAGAUCUUGUGUCUUCCAAUGCUUUGCAAUGAGAAUUCUUGCUGCUGUUGUGGCAUACAUAAAAAAAAUUCUAUCCUUCUUUGGCACCAAUUGGCCGACUAUGCCUAGGAGAAAGGCCUCUGGUUUCUUCAAUGACCAACUGUUUUCAUUGAGUCCCACUGAUUUCACUGAGUAACUAAACCUGUAUCCAACACAUUAAGAGUCCUUAAGAGGCAUGUACAAUUUGUGAUCCAACAAACCCAAAAGCAGGCAGCAGAAGCAUGAGUUUUAUUGAACUCCUGGUGGACCACCACGUGGCUGGUAGCUUGCAUCUUAUGAAGUGUGCCAAAAGCUUUAUAGGGCUACCUCUGUGUCAAACCUUUGGGACAAAGGUUUCUUCUUUCCUGUGCUAUGAUGCAAUAGUUUCAGACUCCGGAGUCAGCCUAGCUCUCUUCUGUGAGUCAGGAAAUGCUGCCCAUGCAUAAUGAAGGUUUCCUAUUGUGAAGGUAGACUAGCAUGGGAGCAAACAUAUUCUGAACAUGUGCCCAUCAAAACUAUGCAGAACUUGGGUUUGUGCGUCUAGUCUCCUUAGACUUUCUUCUUUCCAGAUGGACAGCCUUUAAUCCCUAUGUUAUUUUAGUGCCCUCCUUAGUAUUUUUACCCCUGUUUUAUUUUAUCCUUCUGGAGGUGAGAUGAUCUGAAUUAGUUAAUUCAAAUUGUACAAGCACUUCAGACUGGCUGUGAUGUCCUUGAGCUCUGAAGGAAACCAGUGCCCCUUGCAUUAAUUUAAAUAGCACAGCACUGAAGAUAUAAAAUGGAAUUUUACUCAGGGCUGUUGUGGCAGCUCUCCAAAUGGUUCCUUUUACUUUUAAAAUAUAAAUGAUUGUAUAAGACUUGAUCUGCUCUACUGCUUCACAUGUAUUACAUUUAACAACAGAUAAGGGAAAAAAAGCUACUUCAGUCGCAGCUCCAGCAGCUGAUCUGCAAUGGAAUGCAACCAUAUCAGAAGCCAUUCUAAUUGCUUAUGUCAUUUUAAUGGGUUGUGUGAAUAUCAUGCACUUUGUGUGCUUCUGUUUGUUUGUUUUUAUAAAUGAUAUUUAUUGAAAAUUUUCUAAAAAUUACAAGAAAAAGACAAAACAGAAAAAGAAAAAGAAAAAUAAAAAAAAUAAAACCAUCAUUCUCCAAUUCUCCACUUUCAUUACCUUCUUUCUUUGACCUCCUCCUCCUCCCUUUUCUUGUAUCCUAAUUAAUAAUUUUCACAGCAAAUCCUUUCCAUAAUUCAUAGUAUUCUGUCAUUACAUUACCUUAAUCUAUUUUCAUCUUAUCUUAUAGAAAACCUUAAAGCUUAAAACUUAAAUCUUAUUUUUACCAACUUCUCAUAACCAUAACAUUCUUACCUAAUUCUUUAAACAUUUUAACAAGAGCCAAGUAAUUUCAUUUCAACAUUUUUCUAACAUUCAUCAAUUUUAUAAAACAAUCCUAAUGGUAAAGAAAGAAAUAAGAACAAUCCAAUCUUCAUCCAGCGUCCCUUCCUCCUGGUCCCGGGUUUUGUCAGUCCUUAUUAUCCCAUUGAUCUAGCACAUUAACCUGGUGAUCUUAUAUCCGAGGCCCUCAAGUCUCUCCCAUGUCCCUUCCGCAGCUCUUCUUCUUAUUUUCCUUUCACUCGUGGGAACUCCAGCUUGGUAAUGUUUUUGACCCUUUUCAACAGAUCAGCCCCUUUUCCAUAGUCCAGACUAAACUCCAUGUGGUAUUUGAAGACAUGUGUCAGAAUCCCUCCAAAAUUGAGAGCCCCCACAGCUCCAAACAUCUGACGGCCCAUUCCCAGACUCGGAAAGUCCAAACAUCCCUGCAUGGGGGGGUCAGUCCAGCCCCCCAUUUCCAAACCAAACUUUAUCUUUCCAAAUCUGUUUUUUUCCAAGUUCAUUUGUCAAAUCCAAAGGCUCGUAUUCCUGCAGGGCCGAAAAUUCCUCCCUUUCUGGCGCCCAAGAUUCAGCAACAUCCUCUUCUCUCAUCUGUUCUGUCAUGGCGCACUCCUGUUUUAGUUCCUGGGUGGGCUCCAUAUAGUUUCCCACUACCUGUUCAAAGGUUCUGACCGCAUUAGUCAUCAAAUCCGUCUUCUGACUUAACUGAUCCAAUAGGGCAUUUAUUUUACAGAGAGCACACAACAGAGCUUCUGAAAGCAUUGUCCUACAAGGUCACAAGUCCUUUCCCACGGUUGUAAUCUUUGACAGCUGCAAGCUCCCUGGAAUUAGUUACAGUUUCACAGUCCCCCUCUAGGGGGAAAACUUCUGGUUGUUCUUUCUUUUAAGGACAAUAGCAACAAAGUUUCUUUUUAAGAUAUUUUGUCAAUAUUUGUUCCUUUAAAAUGCGAAAGGAAACAAUGAAAUCACAAUGUUACUCUUCUUUUAGCUAUCUGUCAAAGACAUUUGUCUCUGGUCAAUUAGCUUCAAACAUCAGUUCUGACACCCCGCUCCAGGAUCAGGACGGUGGAAAGUUACUUUGCUUUAGACUCACUUCUGCAGGUUUAAACAGUCCAAAAAAAAAAAGAUCCCCCUUCUUCUCCUGCUGCCGAAGGGGGGUUCAACAAUUUUAAAUGAUGAAAGCCAGUCCUUUGAAGGUGAUAUUCUAAGCUCUAGUUUACGUUGUCUUUGCUUUACUCUGACUACAAAGAAACGGAAGGCUGACUUCCUGUUUAGACCUUCCCGUUUCAGUACCAAAUUAGAGUGAAUUUUUAAGUCCAAUUCCUUUCUGCUCGCCAGUUCUUAUUUAAAGUCCAAUUGUUCAAUGUUUAAGUACUCACGGGUGAUUAUUUUAGAUGCCAAAUUGUCCCAGGAAAAAGGCAGCGCUCUCCGGCAACGGCUAUGCGGCUUCGCUCCACGGAAAAAGCAAUUGACUCACAGCACCGCGCCACUUCCCCCUCUUCACUCCAGAGCCCGUUAGUGGGUUCCUUUGCGGGUUGGGGGGGGCACUAAGGGUGCCCGCCGAGUCCCACGGUCACAGGCUUCAUCCGCCUGUGAUUUCUAGAAGGGUCCCCGCUUCGCCGUAGCGGAAAGGACCCGUUUCGCGCGGAGCUAGUCCCUACAGUUCAGAGGGCGUCCGCCAUUGCCGAUGGCACCACCCCGGAAGUCACUUUGUGUGCUUCUGUCAACAUCCUACAGCUGCCUUCCUUUAAGGGUAUGGAUCUGAUAUUUCAGAUACAUCCAGGGGUCAGUCUUUUCCCAAUACUCUGACUCUGAACGCAGCCAGUGCAGAUUAUUUUGGAGGCUUCAUUCUUUGGUAGGGUUGCCAUAUGCCUGGGAUUUGGCUUGCAUCUGGGUGGCAAGCCAUGUCAGCAGUCUCGAACUCCACAAGAAUAGCUCAACAACUUAUUGGGGUUUUUUGAGAUUUUUCAACAACAACAACAACAAAGCUCAACAACUUUUUCUUAAAAUCGCAAUAAAUAACUUUUGUGUCUGGAUUUUCACUUUCUGAAAUAUGGCAACCUUAUUCUUUAGUAAAUGUUAUUUCACCUGAGAUGUUCCAAAUGUUGUAAUAACAGUUUAUUUCACUAGAUAAUCAGGCUGCAAUCCUGUGCCAUGGCAGGCUGCUUAAUUCCCACUCACUUUGGGAUUUAAGCAGUCCGUGUACAGGACUGCAGCUAGUUAUACUGAGUCAGCUUUGGUCAGUGAUAUGUCACACAUCACUUUUAUCAUUUUUACAUUAGAGAAAUGUGAUAAAUGCAUUUGAUAAACUGGAUGAGAAUUUUGUACUGUAGGUUGUCUAAAUGUUCUGGUUUUUAAUUGAUUGUCACUUUGAGACUUCUUUUGUAAAAAGCAACUAAUAAAUGUAUAUUACUUCUUCUUCUACUACUACUAGUACUCCACGCAAUAUGUAAAAUCCACUCCUAAACACCUUUAUUUGGAAGUUGUACUGAUUUCAGUAGGUCUUGCUUUCAGACAAAUAUACUUAGCAGCCCAAUCUACAUACAUAUUUACUCUCAACACAAACUGAGUUCAACUAGAGUGAAAAGGUUGAGAUUGGGGAAGAGUGUGCAACCAUGCUAUCUCUUUCCAUGCCAUGGAAAUAACCUGGAUAUAAAUUGUUGAAGAGGACUAUUGUUUUCAUUAAAUUAUUAGUGUUGUUUUGAUGUUUACUUUCUUUAAAAAUGCUGUAAUGAAGUUGUCCACGAUACUUCCACAAUUCAGCCUAAAUGAUGAAGAACUUACUACUGAAGUACAGUGGUACCUUGGUUUACAACCAUAAUCCGUUCCGGAGGUCCAUUUGUAAACCAAAACAGGUUGCAACCCAAGGCGCGCUUUUGCUAAUGGGGCCUCCCAAAAAAAAUUGUUUGUAAUUAAAAAAAAAAAGGGUUGUAAUCCAAAAAAAGGUUGCAAACCAGGACACACACUUCCGGAUUUGACGUGUUUGUAAUCCAAAACGUAUGCAAACCACAGUACCACUGUAUUAAAAACUGGAAGUGCCCAAGCUUAUUUUUGAAGGAUGGAUUGAUUUAACAUUUAAGAGCUAUCUCAUCGAUAUGAAGCUCACAGUGGUGGGCUACUCUGUUUCCAUUCCAAGAUUUUACAACGUUGCUGAAAUGUUUUGUAUGUAUUCUUAUUUCCCUCUAGUCAAACUCCAGUCUAUCAUUCUCUUAGUUUGCAGUGGUACCUCUACUUACAAGCACCUCUGGUUACGUAUCCUUCAGGAUACGCAUGCAGCAAAUGCGGAAGUAUUUUUCCAGGUUUCACGGCAUGUGCAUGUGCAGAAGAGCUCUACUGCACCACACACAUGCGCAGAAAUGCUCUACCGUGCCAUGUGCAUGCGCAGAACAGGCACCUCCUGUUGCUAAAACCUCGGGAUUCAACUGGAGCUCCAGAAUGGAUCCCGUCCGCAACUGGAGGCACCCCUGUAUUUCAAAAAUGUUCAUCCUGCUUCCCAAUCAGUGGAAGUCUUAUAAAGAGGCGGCCCCUACCAUAAGAAAUAUGGUAUAUGGAUUUAUAAAUCCAUACAACUAAAAGAUGGAUAGACAUAAAACCACAAGAUACACUGGUAAUCAUAAAAAUAUAAUUAUCCUAUGAUUCCACUGUCCUAUGAUUCCACUGUUCCCUCAUCUCCAAUUGUGGCUUCCCAGGGCUAUCUGAUUGGCCAUUGUGGGAAGAGGAUGCUGGACUAGAUGGGAUUUGGGAUAAUCCAGUAGGGCUAUUGUUAGAAUUUGCCAUUUUUUAUUCUGUGGUAAAACUUGUUACUCACCUGAUAAUAAAUCAAGAGUCUAGGAAUUGUGCUAUGCUGAAACAAUAUAAGAGCCCAGCAGGAAGUGGCUGGAGGAAGCCAAGGACAGUCAGCCAACAUAACUGGUACUGCCUUGCACAGGAUAAAGGUUCAUGGACCAAAAGAGAGGCCUAGGCAACUGCAAGCUUGAAUCAACAAAUUAAAGUUCUACUCCUCUAUUUUUAAAGCACAGUGCAGGUUUAUGCCAUUGGAUAAUUGUAUUAAACUUGGGGUAAAGACAUAGUUGCUUGAUUGAUAAACCAAUCAGAAGGAAUGCUUUGUGUGAUUAAUGACUAUGCCAUAUCUAAUGGGGCACAUGUUUAAUAGUCUCCAAGGUUCUGACAAGUAAAAUAGCAACUAAUUGUGGUGCCUAAGAAUUAUUCAGUCCUCGAGGCCUAAACAAAAGUUUUCAUUUGAGUUUAGGAAGGGUGGAGGUGUUGAGAAAGUUUACUUAUCUUCUUUUCUUCAAACCACACCAGCUGUCAUAAUACAUAUUAAUUUUCUGAAUUUUGCUUAUUAAUGGCUUAUUUCACUUUAAGCUCUUUCAACCUACGCAGCAAGAAGCAGGCAAACACGGAGGUUUUUGCAAGCAGACAACAAAGGAAAGCGCUGUACUUACAAAUCUAAUUUUCAUCUAAGUACUGUAGAUUGCAGCUCCCUGAGGCAAAGUCCUUGAUAUCAGAAAACCAAUUUCUGGCAGAUUGGAGGGGUUAUUCCCCUUUGGUUUUCCAGCAUCAGCGAGGAGAUGGGAAUAGAGGACCCAUUCUCAGGAGGCUGGCAACUUCACAAAAGAAAAAACAGAUGGGACCUGACAGGCUAUUUCCAGGAGAUGGAGUCUCUGAAGCAGGAAGCAGCGAUGCCUGAGUGACUACUGGGAGGCCCUUGCUUUUAAACUGGGAGAGUCAAGGACUCUGAUGAGAUGACAGCAGGCAGCAUGCAUUGUCAGGCUUCCACCUGUCCCAUCAACAUUUACACUCCCCACCCCCUUCCUAAUAUAUAAUUUGCAGAUUGUCUUGUGAGUGCUAUAUUGUUUAACCCUAUAUAACACCCUUAGCUGUACUCUGUGAAUAUUUUUUAUUUAUUUGUUUUUGCAGUUUUGCAGAAUUUGAGGCUGCACUAUGUAGGCAUAGAACCUUCAGCUAUUUCUAUUCUAUCUCUGAUUUCCUAUCCUUUCCCUAUCUUUUUCCAAUGAAAGAACAUGUAAGGAUAAGAACACUGGGGUGAAUUCUGUAUUCAGAGUCCACCUCAGAAUAUCCUACAUUCUGAGAGAAAAUAAUAUUAGGCAGCUGUUUUCCCUGCUCUCUAAAUCCUUCUGAAGCAAGCACUGUUUCCCACUUCCUCUUGGUAUUUGAAAUCAGGUUUUGUUUUCCUCUUCAAAGUCAUAUGUCAUCAACUUUCCUGAGCCAAUCAUGAAAAUCAUCUGCUGGCAUGAUUUGUGCAGUGAAAACACUUUAUCUACAGUUAAAGUUUGUAUUUUGAAAUAAUUUUGGAAUUUUGUACAUGAUUACCAUUAGCUCUCAACAAGUUGUUUAGAGUCCAUUUGACCCAAGCUUGUUCAGUUAUCUUCUUCCAGAGACCAAUGAGGGGGAAAUUAUGCCCAGUUGUGAAGAUACUUGAUUUCAGCCCUUUAUAUUGUUGACGAGGAGCUCCUGCUGUUUCUGCUGCAUCUAAGGAAUCUGAUAAGCAAAUUCUUGGCUGUGAUUAAGUCUAAGCUGGUGAGGGAGUGGGCAGGGUUGGGUCACUUUUAGGUGAUUACCAGUUUCCCAUGACAUAAAUGCACGAUAACCUUCCAACCAUUUCAGAAUCUGAUAGCAUGAGAGACUGGGUACUCCACUUCCCAGUCAUCUUCUAAGUAGGAUCCAGUUUUGGCUGGUAAAGGUAAAGGACCCUGUGACAGUUAAGUCCAGUCAAAGGCAACUAUGGGGUGCGGCACUCAUCUUGCUUCAGGCUGAGGGAGCAGGCGCUUGUCCACAAACAGCUUUCCAGGUCAUGUGGCCAGCAUGACUAAAUCGCUUCUGGUGCAACGGAACACUGUGACAGAAACCAGAGCACACGGAAAUGCCGUUUGCCUUCCCACCACAGUGGUACCUAUUUAUCUACUUGCACUGGUGUGCUUUCGAACUGCUAGGUUGACAGGAGCUGGGACAGAGCAACAGGAGCUCACCCCAUUGUGCAGAUUCGAACCACCAACCUUCUGAUUUGCAAGUCCAAGAGGCUCAGUGAUUUAGACCACAGUGCCACCUGCACCCCUGUUUUGGCUGUACAUCCUUUGAGAACCACCUUUUUCUUGUGGUAAGUUUUUUAACAGACAUUGUCCCCUAGACUAACACUGCAUAGCAAGAUCACAAUUUGAUAGCUGACCCCAAACUGUGGAACUCCAUUCCCCUAAUGAUAUCUGAGCCUGUACAACUUCAGUAGCUCUGCAGGGCCUUCUUGUUUGGUACUGCUCAUAUACAGUAUUUUAUGGAUUACAAGAACAGUAGACUGCAGACACUGCAGUUUUACACUUUAUGCACUGUUAUUCAUCAUCGGGCAAUAUUUCCGAAUUCACUCUCUCUGAAUCAGUAACCCCCAGUUUACACACAUCCUCCUGUAAAGCCUUUUCAUCUUCAAUCGUAACAGUCAUGUCUUUCUCAACAGUAGAUGCUAGCACUACAUCAGGAGUCUCUGCUUUGGCAGCCGUUCUGCAUAUCAUGAGAAAACAAACAUUAGCAGUGUAAUAAGCGAUAGUGCUCCACACAUUGACGUCCCAAUGGCAACCAGUCAACAGGGCAGAAAUUAACAGCUUCAGCAGAUUUGAAACCUUGGUUAAAGCUACUAUGAGAGGCUCUUGGAAACGUAAUCACAAAUUUACCAGCACACCAUGAGACAUUAAUGUGUUGGGAUUCAUAAUUGUAACCAGCUGAUGUAAAAGCUCAGCUGAGAUUCAAAUAGCUCAGGAGCCAACUUCUUCAUUACAUCUUCUGGUUGUUCAGCUGCAUAUUCUGGGGCUCCAUACCAGAUAGAUGAUGGAAUAGCUCCAGUGAUCCUCAAUACGCCAGUGAAAUGAGGAAAAACAAAUCCCUACAUGUAGCCAAGGCGACUUCCUUCCACAUUUAUCUGCAGUGAUGUGAGCAAGUACAGAUUGUUCCAUCACAGGCAUAUUCAAAUUCCAUCCACUAUCAAUAUACUCCUCUUCUUCUGGUUUUAAUUUGAUUUUACCAUCUCUCACAGGAAACUCACUGCCAAACUCCUUUGAAGCAAUAUCAGCACCAUAUUCUACUGUAACAUCUUCUUCAAUUGUGCUAACAAGAUGCCAGAACUAUUUCUUAACCAAUUCUGUAGGAACCAUAUGCACUGGCAUAUUAAAAUAAUCUGACUUGCAGGCAUCUGCCAUUUCUCCAAAUGUGCAAAGUGUGUAGUCUCGUGCUGCCUGUUCAAAACCAAAUGCUUUUUGUGGUUUAUUACACUCCUGAGCUAGGCCUCAGGGGCGUCUCCAGUCCCCCUCAGGGAACAUCACAAAGAGGUAGUAUUAAGCAAAAGGUAUGGUAACUGUCAUCACAGCCAUCACAUAGGAGCAGACUAUCCUCAUCAUUACCACUGCCGCACAACAGACAAACAUACAAAUCCAUGGCAUUAAAGCUUUUCUUAGAACUUCCCUUUGGUUGUUCUCUUUCUGUUUCCCAGAUGGCUUGCCUUUUUUCAACCAUUUCCCAUUUUACUAGGCCAUGAGACUCUUUAACACUGUCAGGCUCAAGCUUUGGAGGGGUGGUUCCCAUUCUAUGUCUCAGAUUGUGAGUUUUUGUUUCUGUAAAGGUAAAGGGACCCCUGACCAUUAGGUUCAGUUGCAGACAACUGUGGGGUUGCGGCACCCAUCUUGCUUUAUUGGCCGAGGGAGCCGGCAUACAGCUUCCGGGUCAUGUGGCCAGCAUGACUAAGCUGCUUCUGGCGAACAAGAGCAGUGCAUGGAAAUGUCGUUUACCUUCCACGAGAGCAGUACUUAUUUAUCUACUUGCACUUUGACGUGCUUUCAAACUGCUAGCUUGGCAGGAGCAGGGACCGAGCAACGGGAGCUCGCCCCAUCGCAGGGAUUCGAACCGCCGACCUUCUGAUCGGCAAGCCCUAAGCUCUGUGGUUUAGACCACAACGCCACCCACGUCCCCUUUUUGUUUCUGUGGCGUCCUCCAAAUCAGUUUUAAUAUUAGUAGCCUCUGCUCUCAUGCGCUUUGCUCAAUGAGCAGGUGAACAAGUUUCAGGCAGCUGAAAAGGCUUGUCUUUGACGAAUAUAAUGGGGUUUAUAUUCCUUGUCCUUUGUGCUGCUGGUGAUAUCUGGCUUCUGAAGACACUUUUCCAGAACUGCAUCAUCCACUAAACACAUCAAUUUGGAACAAAUGUCUGGCGCCAGCAGACUAGCUCCAGUCUGAAAUAAGUUAUAUGGGUAAAGAAUGUGCUAAUAAUGAGCACAAAUACGUGAGCCCACAGCUUUGCCAGGAACAAACCCCAUCUUGGUAGCUAUAUUAGUCCAUUUUCUGUCCUCACACACCAAGUCAAAUCCACCUUCUUCUGCAACUAGUCUAUUAAACUGGAAUAAAUCCAAGAUCUUUCUUUCUACAUGUGGAAUUUUCAUUGUGCAUCCCUGAAGUUCCCAAAACUUUGCAAUCUGGUAUUUUACGUUUCCAAGUGUCUUGUACUACUUCUUUUAUUAUUGUCCUCUCAUUUGUGUUAUUACCUGGGUAAGAAGCUGCUGGAAUGUAAUAAAUAAGAAAAAUGUGUGGGCAGCUUCUUGAGAGUGGAGAGCACAAACUGUUUUACCUUUGCUUGUAACAUUGAUUGAUAGGCUGGAAGCAAUUGAACCAACUUGCUAUUUUUCAUCGCAUCUUUUUUUCUCACUUCAGCUGCCCAUCUUUAUUUCAUCUUCAUUAGUCUUAGAGUGGCUUGUGCAACUGGCUCUUGAUUUACACAUGCUCACUAGCACAAAGUUUGCAAACCUCUGAAACAAGUGAUUGUAACCAAGCUAGACAUAUCAGCCGUGAAGCUAGUUAAGGUUCUAAAUCAAGAAUUUUAAUGCACUUUUCUGGCAAGAGAUUUUCCUUUUCCUACAUUGAGCAAAUUUUAAUCCCUUGACACUUAAUCCCUUAAAUUUGGCUCUGUGUUAUACUCACAUAGGGCAAAAGAGCAAGGUGGAAGACUGCUGGAACGUAAGUGGAGAAAAACUCCAAAUGACUAUAGUGAAACACUGGUGAGUGUGCAUUUUCAAGCAUACUUAUUGGCAAUGAAAGCAGCAAAGAAGGCAUACUUUGCUACCUCCAUUGCAUCCUCAGUAUGCCAUCCUGCACAACUUUACCGGGUAGCAGGGCCUUUAGCAUAUUGGCCUGAAAGAGGUGGUAGAACAGACAGAGGUUUGCUGUAACUUGUUUGCUAAGCAUUUUGAGAAUAAAAUUGCUUGCAUACAUGGGACCUUGACACUGUUGCUAUAGCAGUUGAAUCUUGAGAGAUGUCCAGAGCACUGUCUAAUUCUGUUUUGUUGGAUGGAUUUCAGCUGAUGAGACUCGGAGGUGUGGACAAGGUGCUUGGACCCUUGCCCCUCCUUGACUCAUAAAAUCCAGCAGGGAAGAGAAAGCUAUCAGGGCCAGGGAGGUGGUCAAUGCCUCUUUACAAGAGGGGGUCAUUCCUGGCUGUUUUAAGGUGGCAGUAAUAAGACUGCUUCUAAAGAAACCAUCCCUAGAUUCUGAGAACCUAAGUAAUUCCCAGCCAGUUACACUGUUAGUGGGUGGUUCUCUAGACUGGAUAGAUGGGAGACUGCCUGCUCUUGAGGGAGUUACACUGCCUUUUAAGGGGGUGCUCUUGGAUCCAUUACUGAGGCCCAGGUGGCCUCGGUGGCUCAGGGUGUCUUUUGUCAGCUUCGGUUGGUGGCCCAGCUAUGCCCCUAUCUGGACAGGGAUAGUGUAACUUCUGUGGCCUACACUCUGGUAACAUCUAGGUUGGAUUUAUUCAAUGCAUUAUGCAUGUGGCUGCCUUUGAAGAUGGUUUGGAAACUUCAGCUGGCCAGACUGCUCACCAGAACAAAAUGAUUUGAGCAUAUAAAACCAAUCCUGGCCCAACUGCACUGGCUGCCAUUAAUAUUACAGGCCGAAUUCAAAGUGUUGGUGUUGACCUAUGAAGCCUUACACAGCUCAGGACCUCAAUGCCUUAAGGACUACCUUUCUCCAUACAAACCAACCUGAACCCUGCACUUGUCAUUUGAGGCUCUUUUCAAUGUCCCUACUCAGAGAAGUUUGGAGGGUGGCAACAUGAGAAUAGGCCUUCUCUAUGGUGGCUCCCCAUCUAUGGAAUGUUCUCCCCAGAGAGGCUCAUCUGGCACCUUCAUUUGAUGUCUUUAGGCACCAAGCAAAACCUUCUUCUUUACCAAGGCCCUCAGCCAUUAAAUAAUCUAUGGCCUGUUAAAUGUUGGGGGGGGGGACUGCUAUUAUGAUUAUUUUAUUAUUAUGUUGUCUAUUAUUAUUCUGUCUGUUAUGUUUUAAUUAUUAUGCUCCAUAGAAUGUUCUUAAUGCUAUAAACUGCCCUGGGAUCAUAUGAUAAGGGGUGGGAUAUUAAUCAAAUAAAUAAUAAAUAACAAUAAGAGAGAGAGUAUAUACACACUAGGUAUGGGGAAGAAAUUCAAUUCACAUUUAAAUAGAAACCUAAAUAAUUCUCACUUUCAAAACAGCAGGGAGAUUAAAACACAACCAUUCUUCAACAUUCACACUUCUCUGAAUUUUGCAGUGCAGUUCUCCAGUCAAGCAGUGUUUUCAAAAAUGCAUAUACUGGAGUAAAGUGUCCAUAAAGGUGUGUAUAGUAGUUAAAAUAACACACAAAUAUAUUAUUUUAUGGGGAAUUACUUUGCAAAAAUCUGUAUAUUAGGCAAAAUUGUAUGCAAGCAUGUUUAUAUUAGGAGAAAUUCACAUUAAAAUGCUGGUAGUUUAAUGAGGAUUUUUUUUAAAAAAAUGACAAGCUGAUCUGAAAAUCUGGAGGGCUUAAUUUAAGUUUGGGGGGGGGGGGAAUGACAAACUGAGAGAAACUAAGAUUGACAAAUUCACUCAUCCCUAAAACACACACACACAUUCCAACACUGCUCAAAGUCUUGCCUUAUAUGGAAGCCAACUCUAAAGUUUUGUGUUGUGAUGCUUAAAUAAUUUUUUCACAUCUUCAGAUUCAGAUGGCUCUCCAAAGAACUAGCCCAUAUCUUCAUUUAAAAAAAAAAACCCACCUGCAUUUCUAUAGUGCUCUAAGGCUUUCAGAAGAAAAUUAAUUGUGUAAAAAAUGUGAAAAAGGAGCCAGUCACAGCCUGUCUCCUUCCAGGGUCCAUCAUCAGCCAGCACCAUUUCACUGCCAGGGAGGGUGAGACACACUCUGUCGGCCAGCUGAAACCAAUUUUAUUAUAUCAUGUUAGCCAACUUCAGCUUUUCUUUCAAAAAGGGCAGGAUAUAAAAAUGAAAAAUAUGAAUUAAACGUGGUGAUUUAAAGAUAGAGUCAGAUAUCCUUCCUGUCCAAGUAGCUGCCUGUAGGGAUGCAACUACAUCAUCUAGAAAGAAGAAUGCAGACCCAGACAUGGCCUUAUGAAUCACAGCAUCUUUUGCCAAAUGAUCUUGUCAUCUUGAUCAAAUCAUUUAACUCUCCCUUGUCCCCAGUUUUAUAUGCACUUCAGUAGGCCCAUCAAUUGGUAUACUUUUAAUGUUGAGAAUUUGCCUGUUGGGUUGAAGAGGUGAAGCUGAAGUGAAUCCUUUAUCCUAUUUGCUGCCCUCCUAGAGCCACUGUUAGCAACCCAAUGACUCACCAGAUUUAUACCGAUAUUUUAGGUCUUAAUUAACUUAUGUAGAACUUACAGGCAGUUAGAUUGUCAAGGAAUAUGAAAGCAGUGCGGAUUCAAAAGGGCAAGUAUUAUAUAUUGUAAUGUGAGGAACAUAUGUUCAGAUGUCUAGUUCCUUCUGUUAUCAAGACCAUGGUGGUUUAGAUAAGCUGUAAGCCAGAAGCAGGUCAUUAACUACCAGACUGAAAUUCUGUGGAAAAGGAUUUUCUCAUGUUCUUCCUUAGAUACUGACAAGCCAGGCAAUGUGCUAUUUCACUGCAAUAACACUGAUCAUGUGAAAAAUAAAUAUAUGCUUGUGUGCAUUCAGUUCUAAUUAAUAUACCCUUUACCAAAUCACUCUUUGGAUGCCUGGUAUCAAGUUCUUCGGGGUUUGUUCCUUAAUGUGUGCUCCAUUUAUCACUUUUUUAAAAAAAUAUACCAAUUUAGUGUCAUAAUUUGAAUGUAUAAUUGAAUUUGCCAGUCUGACAGAUGAAUGAAACUGCUGCAAAACUCAAGUAACUUUUUUCAGUAGGGUUAUGAAGGCAGCCAAUCUGCCAUCAGCGGCAAGCCACGGCUAUCUCUUGGAUUUGUACUGUUUAAAUAUUCGUGCCUUGCAAAUAAUAGAAUAAACACUCCUUCCACCACCACCCCUUUAUUCCCCUCCAAGCCCUCAAGAUAAAUAUUAAUAAUACAAGAGAUUGUGGGAAGAUGAAUAAAGCAUAAUUUGAGCUAAAAGCCUACAGAUGGCAAAGAAAUGAAAAAAGCUAAGUGAGGUGGAAGAGAAAUGUGUAAUUGAGCAACACCAGCGCCAUAUGUCAGAUGCUGCCAUAAAACAAGACAGCAAAAGGAAACCUUUGCCUUUGCUCUGUGGAAAACACCAAAAUGAGUGCUUGGGUGAAUGUCUUUCUAACUCUGAUGCAUUAAGCUCAUCAGGGAGAUCUUACCUGAUCUUGCAUUUGACAAGUUAGUAUCUCUUUUUAUAUAGAGAGUGACAGUCCGUUGGUCUUCUUUUCCUUUCUUGAUAAGGCGUCGAGAGCCAUUCAAAUUUAGCUGUAGCCAAAGUGAUGAAAGUGAAUUAGACUGAAAGCACACACAUCUCCUGUUAGAUAUCCUGGAGAGCUGCUUCCUUCAAAGCCCCCUCAAAAUGUUUGAAUUGUUUCCUCUUGCAUAUUUCUAAGCUGUGUGUCAGAGAGGAUUUCAAAAGACGGGGAAUGAUCUGCCAGUCUGUCUGUCUAGUCUGUGAUUGUGUGCAUUGCUUCCCAAGGAAGAUCAAAGAAAACGCUAGCUUUUCCGGAAAAUAUCACUUUGAAAAAUAAAUAAAUAGAAGAAUGUGAUACUGUGGCCUUAGUUCUGCAUGUAUGAAUAGGGAGAUUUCUCAUGGGCAACCACACAGCUGAAGUUUCAUUAUAAAACUCUGGUGCUGAAGUUCUGCUCACAUACAAUAUUUCUAUUACCAAAUGGAUAAAAUCACUAGUGUUGCUUGAAUUAAGAUCAGAUAAUUUAUGGAGUCAUUCCACUUGACACAGAUGAAGCACAAAGAAAGAGAAAGAGAAUGGUAAGUACAUGUAAUGAUGAUUGCUUAUGAUUGUUUCAUGGCAUGAACCUUUGCCUGGCCCUCAUUUUCUCAAUAAGAAACUAAUGUGAUGCUACAUAUUGGUCAGAGGCUGACUUAAAUGCAUCAAAUUAACUCCAAGUUCCUGUUCCUGUUUGGCAUGCAAGUUUGUCCCUUGAAAGUGUCUGUAGGCUGACUACAGAUUUCUUGUUUACUUCAUAGAUGGGGUGGGUGAAAGUCAAUGCUCAAUCAAUGCUCGGUGGUGGUCUGUGUUGAAGUGAAUUUGGAAGGCCACUUACAGCAAAGCUUUGAAACGGACCAUGGCUUGCACCAGUAGUCUGGCACAGUGGUGGAUGCUAAGCAUCCUAUGGAGUAUGGCUUCCUACUGGAUUUGUUUGAGCAUCAUCACAAAGAAGCCUCCUUUCUCAUUAGGAUGUUUGCACAUUAUGAUGCCACCAUCCCAGCAAUGUACCUGAAGCAUCCAUUAUGCCUGCAUCUUCAUACCAGCUCACCAUGAUUAAAGUAUAACAGUGCAAGGGCUGUGUCCCUGCUUGCUGUACCGGCCAAUCCUCCUUCCCUCCUUGCAGGGUUCCCAACGUCCACUGCUGCUGAAAUUUUAAAUGCAGGCUUCUAGCGCAUGCUUCCCCCAGCAGCAGGGCGGGAGAGGAAAGAGGAAAAUAAGCUUCUUUCUUCCCUUUGUUCCCCCCACUACCAUCACUGCUGCAGGAAGGGAGACAAGAAACUUUUAACGUGCAGGCUUUUACUCUCCCUACAGCAACAGUUGGGGCAGCAGCAAGGAGGGUGAGGUAACACAAUAAGGAAAAUAGCAGUGCGGGGAGUGCAGGAAGGCUUGCAAAGCCUGUCCCACAGUAGUCUUUUCGACAAUGAAGGUUGAAAAGAACAGCACAGGGGGCCUUAGACCUUCUUCUUUCCAUCUCAUGCCACUGCCCCUGCUGAAGAACAUGAGGCCGGCCAGCUGGCACUUCAGGGUGCCUUCCUCCUCCCUCAUCGCUCCUCCUUCUGUUCUUCAUGAUGAUCGGUAGUGGUGGUAGCAGGGGAUUCUGAGGCCAGCUAUAGAGGAGGAAAGUGAGCAACAGCAGCACCAGAUGGCCUAAAGACAUGGAUCUGACAGUCGAGGGCUCCAAGUCUGGCAGGCAGAAGAGCCAGAGGAGCUGACCACAGUUCAUUCUGACUGUUCCUCUGCAGCAAGCCUGGGCUGCCACCUCUCAUCAUGCUGUAGUUCACAGCACCACCUAUUGGCAACCAUGCAAACUACUGCAUGACAACAGUGCAAUGCAAAUGUGUAUUAUAUAGUGUAUUUUAUAACUAAAGUACAGAAUAGUCACCAGCUAAUUAAGCAUAUAUUCACAGUAUCUCUGAAUAUGUCACACAUAAUAAGGACAGUAUGCCUUACACAUUCCACUAAAUGCUUCAACACUGUAAUAUUUUUUUCUCUUUUAUCUCCAUUAAGCAAUUAAAAAGAGAGAUUGCAUUUUAAUUCCUUUAUGUUUAUUUAAUGGUUCUUUCGGAAUAAUUGGUGCAGUUGGUACUACAGAUUAAUGGUAAAGCAGGAGGGAAUGAAAAGGGAUGGCAUAUUUUCAAGUUUAUUUUCAAUGGGAAAAAAGCCUAGGAAGAAAUUAAGGUCUCCCGAAAGCAUACAAGCAGUCAUUUUACUGUUUACUUUUGGAACUUUUUGUCCUAAAUUACAAACUCUAUGGAAGUGAACCAUUAUUAUAUUUCACCAGGUUUAAAGUGACAGUGUGGGAAAAAUGACAUGCCGGGGUGGGGGGAGAGAGAGAGAGAGGAGAGAGAGAGACCGACCAAGUUCAUUUUAUGAGUAAGUGAAGCUGUACUUAGUGUCAGAGCUUCAAUUAACAAGAUCUGGGAAAUAACCACUUCAAGUUAAGAUCUAAAAUGCAUGGCUCAGGCUGAUUUUGCUUCAGUGAAAUUACUUUUAAAAGUGUGUAUGAUCAGACUUUUAACAGGCAGGGAACUGGGCUUAUUUCCAAAUUGCAACUUUAAGAUUUAUUGUAUUUUCACCCUCCCCUCUUUAGCCCAAGCCUUUCUGGCUGGCUGCAAUUAAUACAGAUGUUAUGGUUUUUGAUUUGCAUUGCUACAGCAUAUGAACUCAAUUACUUUUCAUUUGUAGCCCUGAAAAUGGCAUAAACCCCCUUUGUGAUGAAGUUUUUCACUGCAUUGGUAGAAGUUACUGAACCAUGGAACCAGGCAGAUAUCAAGUGAGCCACAGAGAGUGCCUUCCUUUUGUUUCUGUUUAAUAUACUUCGCUUUCCUUAUGUGCUCUGCUAUGGCAAGAGGUCAUUGAGGCAAGUGCUGCAGCUGAUUUUUAAAUGGCUCGUUAUAAGAUUUUCUCAUGGGGAAAAAUAAGAGGAUGUCUAAUUUUUGAAUGCUAUGACAAGGAUAACUAAAUCCAUGCAUAAAAAUGCACAGGUCAAGAUUGUCUUCCCAUAUUAUCUACAUAUCUUUAAGAAAGCUUUGCUAAUGAGUGGCAAUUUUUACUAGCCUGCUUUCCCUCCUCCUGCUCUGCAGAUCUAAUAAGCCCCUUUUUCAAAUGCUAUGGCAAUCCCCUCAGAUUACUUGGUUUCUGAGUUGUAGUCCUAGUAAUCAGUAGUAGUCAGUGAGGAGGGCUGGCACCACCCAUGUGGCCUCACGGUUUACCAGAAGAGAGCGAGAAAGGUGGCAAGGAGGUUGGGACUGUGUUGGCAUAUUGGAGAAACUAAUCCAUCAUUCUUUCUAAUGUACAGUGGUACCUCGGGAUGCAAAUGGGAUCCAUUCUGGAGCCCUGUUCGCAUCCAGAAGCAAAUGUAACUAGCGACAGCACGUCUGCAUGCGCAUGCAUUGCUUUUCGCUGCUUCUGCACAUGCGUGUGAUGUCAUUUUGAGCAUCUGUGCAUGCGCGAGUGGCGAAACCCGGAAGUAAUGCGCUCCAUUACUUCCAGGUUGCCGUGGAGCGCAACUCGAACGUGCUCAACAUGAAGUAUAUUCAACCCAAGGUAUGACUGUACCUGCACAGAGCUAACCUCCCUGCCUCCUCAUUUCUCUACCUCUUGGAACCUCUCAGCAACUCUACUUCUGAGAAGCUAGGUGUGUGGAGGUAGCUGUCCUUACCCACCACUCCUACCGGUAACUUCCAGGAACAAAAACAGUUUCAAGUAGUGCUAUGGCAGCUCAGGACUUCAUGGCCUCCAUGACAGCCAUGGGGUUCACUUGAAGCAGUGAUGGCCAAACUUGGCCCUCCAGCUGUUUUUGAACUACAACUCCCAUCAUCCCUAGCUAACAGGACCAGUGGUCAGGGAUGAUGGGAAUUGUAGUCCCAAAACAGCUGGAGUUUGGCCAUCACUGACUUAAAGCAUCAAAAGUCCUGACUUUAAAUAGUUUUGAAUGCCAUUUUCCUUUUUUUUUCAGGCUUGUGGCUGGUGGCUUAAGUCAUUUUUAUUAUGCUCUAACUGUUAUGUAUGUAAAUUAUGACAAUGAUUUCUAAUGAUUUUGCUUAUGGGGUACUUUAUUUUAUUUUAUUCGUGAACUGUCCUAUGACCAUUUUGGUGAAGAGAGAAAUAUUUUUAAAAUUAUAGAAACCUCCAACUCCCAACAACCCCAGCCUGCAUGGUCAACAAUUAGGUCAGGAAUUAUAGCAGUCGGGAGUCUAACAACGGAUGCUUCCAGAAUAUCACUGUUUUCAAGGAGGAUUCAGUAGCAUGCUGGGGAAUUCAGACUGAAUGAUUAAAGCUGAUCUGGAGCUCUUGUGAAACAAAACUGCUUCCCCAAACUUCAGACUUUUGUGAUAUGGAAAGUAAUGGGGAAAUGCACUGGAAAGGGUGUGAUAACACCUGCUUGAUUCAAUGGCACCUGAUCUCUCUGCAAAGAAAUAAUAGUGAAUGUUCAUUAAAUAGUCAGUGCUGUCUAAUUCCCCCUGCAAACAAAUCAGGAUGGAUGCUCAUUGAACAGGUCAUCUGGAAGUGACCAACAUCUGGACAGAGACACGUUCCCCAUCAUCCCCAAAGUGACAAAAUCUCUUCUGUUUUGAGCCUAAUCAGUGUCCUUUUUGUGUUCAGAAUGAUACAUUUGACUGAAAUUCAUCCAAAGAUAAUUAUUGUAAAAUAUCCUGGUUUGUAACUUUCUGCAAAUCCUUUGACAUUAUUUAAUCUCUGGAUGGGUUGAAACAUAUCAUCAGUUUCUAACACAGUCUCCUUUCCCCUCUAAUACAAGGUUAUUUUCUUUCUUUUCUUUUAGUUAGGGCAGAGGUCAGUUAUCAUUCAGUCCAACUAUAAAUGGACUUGAAGCCUAGCAAAGCAUCCACCACAGUUCAGAUGCAGUUCAAAUCAUGACCUACAGAAGGCUCAUUUUUAACCACCCAGCUAUAAUUUCUCCUGUCAUUCAAAUUGCUCAAACUAUAAAGCACAUGAAUUGUAGGAACUUAAAGUCACAAUAACACUGUUAUACUUAACGUUUAUCUAAUAAUAGUGCCAUUUUUUUGUUGCUGGAGAAAAUGGUUUAGGAGGAAAUAAAGCUGGACAACAGCCUGUGAACACAGCUGCCAAGCAAGGAAGCAAAUCAACUAAUCACAUCAACACUUAAACCAAUGAUAGCUGUUUUACAAUAGAGGGAAAUUGAAUCAGACACAUCAAACACCUGGCACAGUAGGGCACUUGCUAGCCCCAUAGAGAUUUGUGUUCAUGGUGGAAUAAAUUUCACCAUCAUUACUGGCAAGGAUUUAUGAUCAUAGGAUUUAAUUGCUGUUGCUAGGAUUAACAUGGUCUGUACUGACAGAACAUACAUUAGUGGUCUUCUCAACUAUAAGCAACCAGAUCUGCUAGGUAGAAUCACAUGCAUGAGAGUGUUCAGAACAUUUCGCAAGAAUUACCUCAGCAGUUCUUACAACAGGCCUGCUGAUGUGUGGCAUUCCAGGCCAGACACAGCUCACUACCAUACAUGGCUGCUCACCUAGAGCUCAAGGACCCACCUGAUGUUCCCCCCUGCUUUGGACAGUAAAAGCAGCAGUGGGCUGUCAAAUGCUUGGUAGGCCACAAUACCAGACAAAGGCAUCCUUUAGCUGUGUGUCUUACAAGCUGUGCAGCGUGCCUUACAACAUCUCCGUAAGGGAGCCCAGUAUUAUUGCCUCUUUGUUACAGAUAUCAAGGACUGAGAGUGAGAGAUAAACCACCAUGUGGGAUUGUGCCAAGGAAAUAUUUGGACAAAGGCUCCCAUACAGACAAAAGCAUUAGGAGUUGUGCUGGCCACGCUACCUCCUCACACACCAUAGUCUGUGAUUUUGCCACAUCCACCCAUUUACAAGGAAGUGGCUCAGGACGGAACAGAUUUUCAUGAGACUAACAUUUUUAAUUUCAUUUUUUGUUCUCAAAAUAGUAUAUAAUGAAAUAGAAGAAAUGGCAAAGGAGCCCAAGGAAACAUAUGAAGCAAUUAAUGAAGCAAUUCAUGUUGUAUAUUAUAAAAGGAAAAUUAUCAGCAUUAAACCCUAGAACUAAGGACUUUCAUCCACAUUCUGCAGGAAAGAACCAUGGCCCCAUUUUAUUUGUGGAGGCUCCGUAGUGCCUCCCUGCUGCACAAAAUGCACCCAGGGCUAAACUCUGGCAUUCAAGACAGGCACUUGGGCAAAGAUCUGAUGUUCCCUGGUACAUAUUAAAGCUUACAAGGCAGUAAUUGUGUCGAUACAACUGCCUGUAAUGUCAAAGAACCAUGUGUGCAGUGCCAAACGUCACAUUUAUGAUAUUUCUGUGGUGCAUUGACUAGUGCUUGUCUUCUGGAAUGCACCGAAAGCGUGGGAUCAGUAUGCAACUUUGUUCAAUACAACCCUGUUCAACUAUGCUCUGAAUAGAUCAAUUACAUGAUUUAUGAAUGUUACAAAAGCAUGACAUGAACUUACGGUAUAUUAUUAUUGCAUUAUAUCAAUAAGACUGUUCCUUCAAGCUCAACUAGGUGAAGAACCAGACCUUGUGCUCAUUUUAACAAUGGCAUGAACCUUGUGGGAAUUUUCAAUUAUGUAUAGCAGGCAUCCCCAAACUUGGCCCACCAGAUGUUUUGGGACUACAACUCCCAUCAUUCCUAGCUAACAGGACCAGUGGUCAGGGAUGAUGGGAACUGUAGUCCCAAAACAUCUGGAGGGCCGAGUUUGGGGAUGCCUGAUGUAUAGGCUACAUUUCUCAAAAUACUGUGCAUGACAGCAUAACAGCGCAAUCUUAAAAUUCACAAUACCAGCAAAUAAAUGCAGGAGACUGUGUUGAGGGUGAGUUUAGUACUAAGCUACAUUAAAUGUGAACCAUAGGAGGUCAGGUAUAAAGCUGGAGCACUGCUGAUGUUUCUUUUGGGUUUGCAAAACAAAAUGCACAAGUUUAUAGGUGCAAGCACCUGGGAAUUUUCACUCCAAAUGUUAAUCUCCAAACUGCCUUGAUCCAUUUGAAAGAGUAAUAGUGAGAAGGCAAAUGAAAUUCAAUAUAAAGUAAUGUGUAUUGGAGCAAAACACCCCAAAUUCACAGACACAUUGAUGGGAUCUGAGCUGGCUGAUGCUCUCCAGGAAAGUGAUAUUGGAGUUGUGGUAAUGAUCAAUGAAAUCACCAGCUGAAUGAGUAGUGACAGUGGAAAAUGCAAAUUCCAUAUUAGGAAUUAUAUUGGGGGGGGAGAGAGAAUUUAAAGUAAAAUGACCAGAAUCAAAAUGUAGAGAUGUACAUUGGUUCCGUGUGCAGCUCAAAUUACAAAGCAAGUAGAAACAAUCUGGGUAAGGUUUUCAAACACCCAAGUCAGACUGUGUCAUUAACAAGUCAAAUCAACAACUCCCUAAAGUCCCAAGUUACUCUAUAGACUCAGGUGUCCAAAAACACUGCAUUUCCUUUUUUAAGUGAAACCAAACUUACUAGGGAAAUGACCUGAAUUUGAACAGAGAGAGGUAGAGAGGUUGGGUUGGAUCUUUCAUUUGAUGGACAGGCCUAAAGUAGGUUUUAAUCACAGUGAAUUAUUUUUCCAGGAUGCUCCAAUCACAUUGAUUUAGGGGAGAAAAGUUGAAGAAAACAAAAGUGUUUGCUUUUCACUUGGCUGUUGUUUUGCCUGGGACAGUAGGGUGUUUAGAAAGGCAGCAGAUUAUUAGUGUCCUUCCCAAUCACCUGGUUCCUAACAAGCAAUUAAAAUACUUCCAUUGAUUUGUGUUCAUUCCACUCUAUUUAUUUCUCCUCCCAUCCUGGAUCCUGGUUUGUGUUGGUUUGGCUACUAGUUUUCAGACUUUUGGAGAGCUCAGUAUAGGGUAAUUCUAUUUUCCUGUCCCUCAGAUCCAUUAUUGGGCUUUGCCUGUGAUUUAUUUUUCUUCCCAGUUUUAGUUCGCUUGCUAGAAGUUUUAUUCUCUUCCUUUCAUGUUUUAGAGUACCUGUGAUUUCACUGAAUUUUGUUUUUGCUCUCCAAUAAUACAAAUAAUUUUAUUAGAGUUUUCUCCCUUCCACCUCUGGGACUGGUACUUUCCCACCACUCAACUGAACCUGCUUGCCCCUUAAGUUAGUGCCCAGGGGCUCCAUGUCACCAGUUUUUAGACUGAUUGUCCAGAAAACACUAGCAAAGGUUAAUUGAGUUCACUUCCACCCACCCCAAAAUGGCGAAGUUUGCCCUUGUGGGAGAACCACUGCACCUAUCAUUCCAAAUUUGGCAGGCUCCAUCCCCAGAAGGGGUGACCAAUGCAUGCAAAUUACAUCCAAUUCUGGCAGAAAAAUGAAAGCUAGUGACUUUUUUCUUUUAAAAAAUAAAAUAAAGGUUUCCCGUGCAAACUCUCCUGACUGGAUCUGUUUGCAAUUUGGCAGGCUUAGUACACACUGGAGGGGCUCUUUUUGCUGAAAUUUUCAUCUACUUCUGUAGGGAGCAAACAAUUCUUUUUUUUUUUUAAUGAUAUUUAUUAAGGUUUCAAAGAAAAGAAUUACAUAAAUAGAAAGAAAGGAAAAAAAUACAAAAAUAAAAAUAAAAGGAAAAUACAAAAUACAGAAAAAAGAUAAAAAACACUUAAAAAAUAUAUAUCAGUCUUUCCAUGCCUUACAUUCAUUUCCUUGCUUACCUCCUCACACCUCCCUUUUUUGUAUUCCAAUUCAGUUAGUUAAUUCAGCAAUUUCUUUCCCUCUUUGUUUUUAUCUUAAUCCUUUAACUUAAUAUUUUAUAACUUUGGAUUCUCACCUGUUAACAGUCCAUUUUUACAUACACCUUUAUAACAUUGCUGCUUAAACCACUUAAGUUCAUUCUGACAUCGUUCUAACAUUCAUUAAUUUUGCAGUAUUUCUGUAAAUAGUCUUUAAAUUUCUUCCAAUCUUCUUCCACCGACUCUUCUCCCUGGUCUCAGAUUCUGCCAGUCAUUUCCGCCAAUUCCAUGUAGUCCAUCACCUUCAUCUGCCAUUCUUCCAGAGUGGGUAAAUCUUGUGUCUUCCAAUACUUUGCAAUAAGUAUUCUUGCUGCUGUUGUGGCAUACAUAAAGAAAGUUCUGUCCUUCUUUGGCACCGUUUGGCCGACCAUGCCCAGGAGAAAGGCCUCUGGUUUCUUCAGAAAGGUAUAUUUAAAUACCCUUUUCAUUUCAUUAUAAAUCAUCUCCCAGAAAGCCUUAAUCCUUGGGCACGUCCACCAAAGGUGAAAAAUGAACCUUCAGUUUCUUUACAUUUCCAACAUUUAUUAUCGGGCAAAUGAUAGAUUUUUGCAAGCUUGACUGGUGUCAUGUACCACCUGUAUAUCAUUUUCAUAAUAUUCUCUCUUAAGGCAUUACAUGCCGUAAACUUCAUACCUGUGGGGAAGCAAACAAUUCUUAAGGUUAUAGCUGUUUUCAGAUUCCCCACUACAGUCAAUGAGGGAAAACAGAGCUUCAGGUUCAACAGAUCUGAUUUGGAGCAGAUUAACAUGUGGAAUCAGAAAGAGCCUGAGUGAACUGGAAACAGUUCGGGUUGCUUCCUAAUGCUGCAGAUGCUGGGGGGGAAGCAACGUGCCCUGUGUCUGAGCUUCUCAGAGGCAUCUGGCUAGCAAGAUCCUUGAAGUUAGAGUGCUAGAUGCCUUUUGUUUCAGCUUGGAUUCACAGGAUACAUGGAGGCAAGUAGGUGUGCAAAUGGCUUGUUGAACACACAAAGUGUUGUUUAGCAUGUAACAGCAAAACAGAUGGGUGUAACUUGCAAGGCAGCAUGCCAAAUAGUGAUUUAUGCCCAUGACAAGUAUUUGAAAUGAGUUGGUGAUAUGGUGUGGAUGGGGAGAGGAUGGCUUUUGCAUAUACAGGAAGCAGAUAUGAGAUUUUAAACAAAGAUUGGCAGGGAUCUGGUUGCUAGUUUAUGCACAGAAUAUCUGUGAGUAGUGCAUAUCGGAUCUAAUUCAAAUGUCAGAAAAGUGCAUCUUCUUGCAAAUAAAGCUCAUAUUAAAGAUGUACGACAGUGUUAUGCAAAACUUUUGUUGUGUUUGAACUGGCCACAAGUCCUCAUGAUAGAUGUAUGAAAGUUAAUGGUUGCAGAUUAUUGUUCUAGUCUAGAAUGAGUAUUUUCUGUAGCCUUAAGUAGUAUUCAUCAUUCUAACUGUAUAUUGCUAUUAUUGCAGUAUUCCCAAACAUCCCAAGAAGAUAAAAACCCACAACCCUUUGUAUUUAGGGCUAAAAACCCUUGGUUAGAGGCCACACCUUCAGCUACCAUGGAAGUUCUCCCAUUUGAGAUGAACUCAGAUAUACCAAAUGGCUAGAGAAAUUUGUUCAGUCUAAGCAAGUUGUGUUAAGAAUGAAUAUUAGAAAGGGAGGAUAUUGCAGGCUGUCUUCUAAAGCUUUUCAGUAGAUACAGCCGAGAAAUGGAUUUUUGGACAGAUAUCAGCUUCAGAUGAAUCCAUAAUGUACUUUUUUAUACGUAAUGCUCUCAAAACUAAGCAAUAUCACAAUGACUAGUAAUCAUAACUUUUCCUCUCUCUCUCUCUGCAUGAGAAUGAAUUCAAUAGCUGCAUUAAAGUCUCCUCCUGCUACCUUUUAGAAACUGAUGCAUAGAUCUUUUCCACACUGUCCUUAUAAAAUAAAAAGGUUGAGGGCCGAGUCUCUUGAGUAGCUUUAUGGCUUGGCUUGGCAUUUUAGUCUUAUCAUGCAGCUGCACAGAUCAUCUGUCCUCAAAGAUGGUUACAUGACUUGGACAUUACUGUGUGAUGUCCUAUUCCAUUCUCUUAUGUUCUGCCAAUUAGAUUAUCCUGUUUCUCCUUUGAUUCCGCUAAGGCAAUGAAUCCCUGUAAUAAGGUCAUACUUUCUCUUUAGCUUAGACAUUUUAAAAUAUAUUCACACACAUACAUAAGGCAGUGCUCAGCAGAGCCAUCUUCCAUUUACUCAGUCUUAGAAUGCAACUAUGAUAGCACCUUCUCCGGCCAUAACAUUUCUUAAUCAUUUCUUUCUUGCCACUGUUUUCCAUCUAUGACUUAUUGUCUACAGUGUCUAGCAUAUUCUCAGUAUGAUGAUUGAUAGGCCAUUUAGAGAUGGUAGGUGUUGUUGUUGUUGUUUGUUUCAAACAGGGAGGAAUGAAAGGUGCAGGGUUGUGGAAUCUGGGUUCCUUGACUGAAGAGUUUUCCUUUGUUUUGUUUUGUUUUAAAAAAGCAUAUUUGUGAAUCUUCACUUUUUUCGAUUAUGUCUGUUGCCUCUUCUGAGAUUCCCCACCCCACCCCUUGUUUUACUACAUAUUCCUGGCUCCUAGUUCCUUCCUGGAUUAGUAGUGUGCAUAAUUGCAUGCAAUCAGAGUUAUUCAGUAAACAAGAUAAUAUUGUGCCAUGCUUUUCUGGACCAUAUCACUGAAAGAAAUGAGAGUUAGGGCGAUCCUAAGGAUGUUUAAAAGGUAAAGGGUAAAGGGACCCCUGACCAUUAGGUCCAGUCAUGACCAACUCUGGGGCUGCGGUGCUCAUCUCGCUUUACUGGCCGAGGGAGCCGGCGUACAGCUUCCGGGUCAUAUGGCCAGCAUGACUAAGCUGCUUCUGGCGAACCAGAGCAGCGCACAUAAACGCCAUUUACCUUCCCGCCGGAGCGGUACCUAUUUAUCUACUUGCACUUUGAAGUGCUUUCGAACUGCUAGGAUGUUUACUCAGAAGUAAAACCAACUGAAUCAGCUGGAUGCAAGGAAAUUAUGCAGUGGCAGCCUCAGGCAACAGAUUUUGUGUGUCAUAUGAGGGCAGCAAGUUGCUGGUUAAAAAAAUUAUUGUUAUUGUAUUUUUAGUCCUAUGGAGAGCCUAGAGGUGCUCUUUCUCAGAUGCCAGAAUAACUUGGCUGGCCUUAGGUACCUUGACUUGGUGAGAUUUGGACAUUAGCUGGCUGUGCCUUAGGCUAGCUGUGGUUGAAUGAGACAUGGGCUGCUUGCACGCCACACAUUUAAGGUACUUCUAAGUCACAUAACUUUUCUCAAAGAAUCCUGGGAAUUGUAGUUUGCUAAGCAUUCUGGCAAUUGUAGCAAUUGUGGGGGAAUCCAUGUGCUUGGAAUGCAUUGUGUGCAAUGCAUGCUGCCUUACUCCUUUGUAGCAGUGCUUAUAAUUACAGCCUAGGCUAACACUUUCACAAGGAGUACUGAAGGAGAAGCAUUUUUUCAACACUGCUAAAAAUGCUCAGUAAAAAUGGUACGGCUUUGGCUCAGCUAUAUGUAACAUUAUUAACCUUGCUGGGCUUUCUACAUUUAAAACAUAAAUAAGGGCAGGAACAUCUCUAUAAAAGGGAGGGAGGGAACAAAGUGGACAUAGAAACCUAAGUGGAUGUCUGGGCAGAUUAAUUUUUUUUAUUAAAAUAGAGGAAGACGCCAGUAAAUUUGGAGGAAGAGAAUUGAGAUAAUGAAUUGGAUUAAAUCCAAUAGCUAUCCAAUGAUAAGAAAGGGAGGGUGUUACAUUACACCCCAUAAUAUAACCACCAGAGGGCCAAAAAGCCUAAUGCUACUUUCCAGACUCACUCCCAGAUGUAAGAUUGUAACCACUGUAACCCAGGGCCCCCAAUUCCCAUUCCUGGCAGCUGGUCCUGGAGGAUACCAUGGUCAGUGAUAUCAAAAACCAACAAGAGAUCAAGAAGCAGGAGCAAGGUCACACUCCCCUUGUCCUGCUCUACAGAGCAACCAAGGCCAACUCUGUCCCAUCACCAGGCCUAAACUGAGAUUGGAAUGGAUCUAUGUAAUCAGCGCCAGCAAAUAAUGAUUGCAGUUGCCAACCCACCCCCUUUAAAGAAACAUUUUUCCAUUACAAAAAAAAAAAAAACAGCUUAAAAUCCCACUCGCUAAAAGAGACAAUGCCAAUCACUGUAGGCACUCCUGAGCAACAUGAGCCAUUGGUCUGGCAUGAAGUAAGGCAGCAUCCUAUGUUCUGGGGUGCAUUCUGUAGCUCUCAUAAAAUCUCAUUAUAGCUCAGCGCAGUCAGCCAUUCUAAGACUUUUUUUUUUUUUUUGCAUGCAAGCCUGAUAGCAAUUAUUUAGAAGAUAAUUGCAGAGUAAUUAAUAUGUAAAGGUAUUUGAGGUUGUUAGAAGUUAUUCUGAGUUGCUUUAAUGUGGGUUCCAUUAGUGCAAGUUCCUUCCCUCCUGAGAUCGUUCAGGAUAAGAGAACAGUAUCAACCACUUUCCUAAUAUAUUCUCUUAUCACAGUUCCCUAAUAUCAAACUCAGAUGGUAGAGUGCCCAACAGGACCGUAACCAAAAUAGCACACAACCACACCCAUGAAACAAGGGGGAAGUAUCAGCAUGCUCGAGUAACAAAAACUCAAAGGGAAGGGGCGUUAAAGUUCAACGAAGACCGAGCAUGCUCAGUUGCCUCAAGAAGUCAGCAAAAAUUCCAUAGGGUCAAGGCAAUCAAUGGAAAAGAGCAACAAGCUGACAUCUGAUUAAGUUUAUCACCAAUCCCAUGGAGUAUCUUCUUUACCCCUCCUCCCAUACCAUUUUUAUACUAGAAAUUAAAAGUAAGGGGUUGUGGAAAAAAUAGAAGUAAGUGUGCUAAGGGGAAAUUUGAAGGAGGUGAGAGAAGACCAUACAUGUGUACAGGGAGGGAGCUGCAUGUAGAACUCAAACCUUGUUUCUCUUGUUUUUGGUAUCCAUCUGUGUCAGGAAAAGAGUGUAUUUGGGGGUCACGUAGUCACCAACACAAUCUCCACAUGUUAACUUUGUGUUGUGCAAUUAUUUCCUUUAAAAACAAAGCAAAAGAAUGGCCAAAAGCAGUAAAGCUGAAUAAGUCUCAGCAGAGCAUGACUGGUAACAACUAUAGGAUAGGAUUUACAGAACCUUAACUUCAGAACACAAAUGGUAGCCUGAUUCUGCAAAACUUCCAUAUUCAGUAUUCAGAGUAUACCUUUCAAUAUAACAAAUCCUCCUAUGUUAAUUUUAACGUAAGCCCAUACCAAAUACAUGUUUAUGUUGCAGACUGUUCCUUGACCCAUAUUUUGUGAGGAGAACCUGAGCUUACAGGGUUAAACAGCUCAGAGUGUACGCUCUGCCUACUAGUGGGAGGGGGAAACUUCUACGUCAGUUCCGAGAGACUCAAGUCUUUGUUCUGUCUCUCUACUUUCGCUUUUGAGGAGAGAGGACGUGUUUUCGCGAUGCUGUUCGCUGUGAUAGAUAAUGGAUAGCCUGCUGUAAAUAAAGCUGCUUUUAGCUGCUAAGAUCCUGUGUGGACUUUAUUUAAGCACACUGAAGAAUGCACUGGAGUUGUUGUUUUUUGGUUUCCUCUUACCGCUGACGAACUCUGCUAUGCUCAGAUAUGUGGAUUUUGGAAUGCAGAGGCCUGCGAUGGGGGAAGCGUGCCGGACCUCACGCUUAUCUGAGCAAUAAAUCAAUAUUAUCUAACAUAUUUAUGUUUAAUGAAUUACUUCUGCAUUUCUGAGUCAUGAAUGUGUAAACAAACAAUUCCCAUCUACCUGCAAUUUCACAAGAGAAAAUCAACUGCAGGGGGUUGGACUAGACAACCCUUUGUGUCUCCUCCAACUUGGUGCCCUCCAGAUGUUUUGGACUACAGCUCCCAUCAUUCCUGGCCUUGGUCAUUCUGACUGUUGCUGAAGGAAGUUUCAGUCCAGAACAUCUGUAGGACAUCAAGUUGGGGAAGGCUGCCCAAAAUAAAUAUGAUACAUAGUGACCAUGCCCACUGCAAACCAGCUUUUUCAUCAUUGACCUUGCACAACAAUAUAUUUAAAAUCAUUUGAAGCCAAUAUUUUCAAUUAAAAGAAGACCAUAGGGGAAGUCAAGAGUAGAUUCUCUAAAUGUGCCUGGAUUAUUGUUUUUUCAGAAAACUGAGGCCCACAAAUUAUUAUGCCUACAAGCCCAAGGGUUUCAGGCUGAAUAUUACUGAUUUAGUCAGCAGCAGAAGAGACUGUCCCAGCUGAAGCAGUUGGUGUUAAAUAGGUCUCUGAUGUCUGACAGGCUGGGGUCUAAUUUUGACUUCCCUGGAUCCUCCUAGCUGGCACCUUCCCAGACAUCACAUUAUAUUAACAAGGCUCAUAAACUGUCAGAAAUAACUCGUCCACUUAACUGGCUGGAAUGAUGCAGAUUUUAAGGACAUGGCCUUUCCAAGAAUUGUCUGUCUUUAUAAUUUGUCAUCUCCACAGCCAGUAAUAUAGUGUUGCUGGAUUCCUCAGCUAAAAGUCUUUGCCACAUUAAUUUCUCAGGAGACUAUGGCCUCUUUUGACCAUUUACCCUUAGGGUGUCCUCUCACACCAGACUCUGAGGGUGAUGCCCUCCAACAGAACGAUUCCACAUUAUACUUCCUGACAAACAAAUUACUGUCUUGUCAGGUAUAGUAAGUACCAAUGUGAUUCUCCAUUACAUCUUUAUAAGUGUCAGAGGCUGUAGAUUUCUAAAAUAGCUCUUUCUCAAAAGGGCUAACUACACAUUGCAUGGAAAACAGACCCCAUUGGUUUUUUGGUUUCUUUAAAUGAAAAGCAACUUGGCGAGAGGUACAUGGUGAACACAGAGUGACAGGGAGGGGAGCUUAAUCCUUCUUUGCCCACUCUUCAGAAUAAUGCCCAGGAUAUCUUAGGAAUAUCCUUACCUAAAGACCUACCUGAGAAUUGGUGUCUCCCAUUUAUUCUUCAAUUUUAGAAGAAUGCUGGAGAUGCCAUGCUGGUUUUGGUGGCAAUUCUUGAAGGGUAGCCUCUAAAUGUGCCUUGCCUUGUGGCUUCAUUUUGAUUCAGACUACUAUGUUCUUUGUUCUUUCCUCCUUCUCCCUGAACCUUUCAUAUACAGUGUGUCCGUUGCCCUUGUCAUACCACCAUCACAAGCCAAUCACAGUAGUACUCUUAUUAGAAUCACAUCAGGAUCUUAGCCAUCCACCAUGGAGUAGUGUAAUGGUAAGUCUGUCAUGCAGCUCUAGGUUUCUAGGUUUCUAAAACUAUUAACUGUCACCAGAGCUUUGAAGUGCGCUGCUUUUCAUCAUACUAAAAGGGAAUCAGUAAAGGAAUCAAUCAUUGCCAAAAAGUCUUCUUCAUUUCAUUUCAUAUGUUAGGUUUCAUAGUACUUUGUUGUUGUUGUUGUUGUUGUUUAGUCGUUUAGUCGUGUCCGACUCUUCGUGACCCCAUGGACCAGAGCACGCCAGGCAUAGUACUUACUUGAUCACAUUGGUUCAGCUGACCAUAAGUUCAACCACAACCAUGUGGAUAACCAAGAGGGCUUUUUGAGCGUUCUGUGGGGCAGCCUACCAUUGGUAGAGACUCUAGAAAUGGUAGAAGAACAACCCAACCACCACACCCUUCCAGGCACUUUAAAGCAUCCUAUACCUAGCAGAUGCAAUCACCUGAAACCAUUUGGUGAGGUAACAGGUAACAUAUAAAGGAUGCACUUUGGACAAGUGGAAAACUAGAGAAGUAACCAGACUCUAGGGUGGCAGGUACCACAGUCAGUGGCAAUGACUGAAGCCCUGUGUAUGUCACAGUGACCUUGCUUCAAAAAUAGCCCCAUUUUUGUGUUACUCUCAGAAAGCAGCAAAUUAAGUCAAAGGGGGCUGUAUGUCUGUAUAUUUGGUGCUCAUCCCAUCCCUGCUGUCCACGUGUUAACACAUUUAUCAAACCCUAAUUGACAUUAUUCCCUCAUUAACAUCUUUCUCAUAAAAAUUCUUAUUAUGAAAUAACCGGCCUACAAUGCACAUGCCACUAUAUUAAAGGCAUGUAAUGAAUUUGGAUGGAUUUGUAUGUAUGGUUGGUAUGGGUUAAAUUGGUCUUUUGAAUAACUGAAAAUCACAGCUUAGCAUAUCUUACUUCAAAAAACUUUCCUGAAGCAAUUUCAGGACACAUGAAGUCACAGUCACAACACUACUGAGUCAUCUCAGCAUAUGUCAAUUCACUGAUUCAAAAGUCAAUUUAUGUUGAUUUCAAAAAAAGAAAAGAAAAUAAUGACAAGAGUACAAUGGAUUUUUUAAAAAAUGUAGACCAUUAAGGUGUUGCCAUUUUCAGUAAUGCUUUUUCUGGGGGUUUUAAGCCAUCUUUAAAAAAUAUACCACUGAAACUUGAAUCAGGAGAAGAGCUUGUAGGUAACAAUGUGCAAACAAUUCUUUCUUUCCCUACUCUUGUGGCCACAAUGCUAGGCUGUUGGGAUUUUAAGAUGAAAGAAUGCUCAAAUCUAGGCACCCAUCAUUCAUAUGCAAAUCUCUCACCAUAUGUGUUUCCUGCAAGUGAAGGAGUUUGUACUCAGCAGAGAGGAGCUUGUCAGAGCUUGUCUUUGUUUACCAGAAAGCUUUGGGGUGUUCUUUUUUUUUUUUGCUGCCAUCAGAAAUACAUCUCUGCAAACAAUCACCACUGUCCUCAGAAUAUGCAGAUCUUCUAUAUCCACAGGCCCUCAAAUAAGUACCUAGCAUUUAUAAUCAUCAAUUUCAUCUAAUCCAGGUGGUUGCUGGGUGUUUUUUCCUCCUAACGCUAGACAUUUAUUUGGAGGGCUGUGAGCAGUAGGUGGUUUUGUCAGAUCUGCAGUAGCAUAAAGAACCAAUUUUUCUUAUCCUAAUCCUAUAGCUGUCUGGAAAAGGUGACACACAGUGAGACAUAAUGAUAAGAAAAGCUCAAGCUGCCCAAGGCGGUCAGAUACCAAAGCUGGAUGAUUAAACUAUUCUGUAACAUUCCCAGAGUCCCAGGGUGGGGGAGGGAGAUGUGAAUGGUUACUUCUCCAAAACCACCAGAGAAGAACGGACAGAGACAGGCAAUGUCCUCCUUGCCUUCAUAUUCUUCCAUACAUAGAAAGUGGAGCCAGGUGGGUGGGGGAGAACCACCACACUUCUCUGUAAUGUGUUUGGAGAACUAAAGGGCACACAGCCCCUACUUGCUCCAUUUAGCUAAGCUGGGAAUGUGUCAGUAUUAAGCACUGACAGCUCUUACACUCAGCCAGUGCUGGGUAGGGAGAGGAAGGGACAGAUGAGAAAGGAAGAGAAGGAAUGGCAGCAGUUUCAGCAACUUCCCCUCUCAAGCGGCAUCUCAAGCACAGGCCCCAAAAUAAGAGGGAAAGAUGUUGCUGUCCACAUGUAGGGCCAAAUGUUGGGGCAGGAUAUAAGCCCUUCUGGCUCUACCCAUGACUUCACACAUUUCCAGCUGCCCUGUUUGGAUACAGCGACACUUAUCAAGCCAGGCAGGUCAGUGGUUUCAGCACCAUGGAAAGCUCCAGUAAAGCCUGGAUGUGAAUAGAGGCCAUUUGAAUCCCUUCACACAGUCAACCUCUCCCAAGCUCCACACACAGUCCCACCUGAAAAGUGUGAAUCAUUAAAUGACCAACUCCCUGGCCCUAACAUGAGUGCUUCUCCUCUAUUCUGUGACCUCCCACCUAACCUGCUCCCAUGGUUGGGCAGGGAGUGGGUGGUAUUUGACUACUCGUGUCUCAAUUAAGGCAUCCCCAAGGGCCCUGGCUCGGGUUCCACAGUAUCCAGAAUCUGUUCCAGUUUCCCAGCCAGUAGUACAGCAGCCCCAGACCUGCUCAGCUUAUUCUGAGAUUGACUCCCCAAAUAUCCAUGUGUUGAUAUGGAUAUCUUCAAAGAAGCUGCUUUUGUGCAGGGUACUGGUUAAAUUGAAUCAUUCAUGCAGACAGCUAUACACACAAAGCCUUUCCAUUUGCAGAUAUCUGCAUCAACCCAUGAGCAUCAGGUGCAGGACCAAGACCUGUGGUUUAGACCUAAGCUUGGAUGCUGGAGGCAACAUCCCAAAAGGAAAACAGGGCCAGCUGUAGUAUUGCCAGUGACUUUAGGGAAGAGGGCAAGUACAGACUCCUCUGUAGGUUUUAAAUACAAACAUAAAUGAAAAUGUGUCAGCAGAGGAUAUCUCUAACAUCCUGUAGACUGAGUACCAUUACCUCAUCUAACAGUGAUCUGUGACAUUAACUCUGUUCUCACAUUUGAAAGUCACAUUGAAAAUGUUGAGGAGGAAGCAGAGCUAUUGUCCCUGACCUCCAUUCAUUCAGCUGAAUAUGAGAAUGUUGUUGUAUGCAUGCUUGGGAUCUCUGACCUUGUGCACACUCUCUACUGUAUUUCAUAACUUCCACUUAACAUUCAGGGGACAGAGUCACUAGACGCAAUCCCCCUCACCCAUCCAUGUGCUGAGGGUGGGUUUGAAGCUCUAGGAUAAUGAUAGAAAACAAUCGUUAUUGCAUUGUGCCUUCCAAAUCCCCUUAACACUGAUCUAAUUCUACUCAUAUUAAUAGAAUAAUAUCUUGUCUCUUUUGUUUUAGUACUGAAAAAAUCAGUAUAGUGUGUUUUCUCCAUGGUAACCCAUUAGUCCCAAAAAUGAAAAUUUUGCAUAAUUCAGAAUUCAGCAUAUUUCCAUCAUUAUAAACUCUGCUUUUGAAUAAAGGAUUAUUACCCCUACAUGACAAAGCUUGCCUUUUUUAUUUGAAAAAAAUUAUGUAUGAAUGAAUGAAGUUGAUUUAAAAAUUGCUAAAUUUUAUUGAAACUUGUUUAUCAGGUAUUGUCAUAUACUACAUGUCAGCUGUCAAUUACUCUGCAUGUCAAAUACAGUCAAGCACUGACUGCUACCUGGCAGAUAUUGUCAAAACUACUGCUUCAUGCUGGUGUCCAAUACUGUUAAAUGUUCAUUGUUCUGCGUCAGAGUACCAACAGUAGCUGUGUAUUAGAUACUGUAACAUGUUGGCAUAAGAACAUAAGAAGCCUGCUGGGUCAGGCCACAAUGGCCCAUCUAGUAAAGCUUCCUGUUCUCACAGUUGCAAACCAGGUGGACACGUGGGAAGUCCUAUAUUAUGUUGCAAAUACAGGUACAGAAUAACGAAUGUUCAGAGGAUAUUUGGAAACUGCCUGCCAUCAUUUUCAGAGGACUUAUUUCAGUUCUGAUUUCUCAUAGAACAGGGAGUGUCCUGAGGAAUAGCUCAGAUGGUAAGAGCAUGGGACUCUUAAUCUCUGGGUCAUUGGUUUGAGCUGGUUGUAGUGUUGGGCACUACAGGCAGUUAGACUAGGUGAUCCAUUCCAACUCUACAAUUCUUUGAUUCUAUAUAUUUAAUGGUUUUAAGGAUGGGUUGAUUUAUGUUUUCUUGUGUCUUGCAUUGUUGUAAGCUUACUUGUGGGCCCUUCGAGGCAGGGUAUAAACAUUAUUGAAAACCACACAUUUUAUAAAGAUGGACGAGUAGUGCUGAGGUGACUGCUUGCAGAGAUUGUUGUGCUCUUCCAUGUCUUCCCAAGCAUGUCAUUAUGUGAGUUUUCAAAAGAAGCAGCAUCACUAUGCUUUUGCUAGACUAACAAGCAGAUGAUGAGAAACAGAAAAACUAUCACCAUGCCCUGCCUUACUGUACACUUCAAUACAAAGCCAUAGAAUAGUUUUGUGGUGCUUUUUAGUUUGGUGUUUUAUUUUUGGUUGGUCUUCUUUUUUUCCUUGAAGUGGAAUCAAAGAAUGGUUAUUAAAGGAGAUAAACAUUAUUCAUCUUCACAGAAAGCAAAAGCCUGUUUCUGCUUCCAGAUUCUCCACGUCAUUCAUCUUCAUUUUCACAGCUUCCUCUUCCUCGCCUCCUUCAUCUAACCUCCGUGGUCUGUUCAGCUUCUCUUUUCUUCCUUGCCCCAAUACUUUGGGCUUGACUGUCUGGCUUAAUAAAGUUACUUCCUUUUGAUGAUCAAUCUACUGUUUGAGUAUUAAAAGGAAAUAAGAGCAUAUAUAAGAAUUAUGUGCUUUCAUAGAGAGUCUCUCCCUAAAUCCAACGGUGUUCUCAGUGUAUGAAAACAAUUUGUCUCCAUAAAGAGGGUCAGGGGAAGUAGUGAGACAGUAUUUUGAUAAAUAUUGAUUUUGCUUUAGUAUGAUCACAGCACUUGAUGACCUUGGGAACUCCAGAAGUAUACUCAAACUAGAGUCAAGAAAACUUUUAGCUUCCAAAACACUGUAAGAUUAGAUGGUUUAAGAAACAUUAUUUCAGAUUUGCAUAAUCCUCUAUUAGUUUAUCGUGUAAUGUUUAUAUGGCAGAAAUUUAAAUGGGACAGAAUAUCAAUUUCUAGUUAUUGCAUUUGCUUUUUUCUUUGCGUGUUCCCUCCACACAAUUGUAAUCAUAUGGAGAGGAAGGAACUGUGACAACUGGCCCCACCUGUACUGUCACAUCCCAAUGUGUUUGAGGGGGGAUGUCUGAAGAGGAACCUCUUGAAUAUACAUAGGCUCCCCCACUAUAUGGUCUAGAACUCUAUAAUUAUGUGGAAUGAGUGCCUGAAGAGGGUUUUCGUGAAAAUGGCCCAUCCUCAUCAAACCCUUGCCAUUUGAAUACUGAACACUGUCCAUCUAUAUUAGGUGGGGGGAGCAUGUAUACUCACAGUGGGUCAAUGUGUUAAUUGCAAAGUGGGCUCUAGUCCAUGAAAGUUUAUACCAGAAAUCAUCAUACUUUUAGGCCCAUGGACUUACAAGGAUUUUUUUAGUGACUGCUGUACCUGCGACCAGCACCCCUCUGAUCACUUCUCUCCUGCCUCACCCAGAUCAGAGACAAAAAGGGGGAAAGUACACACACAAAGUUUGUUUUCCAGAGGAUCUGGAUAGGAGUUGAAUCCAGCAGAAUUAAGAUGAGCCUUGAAAAGCAGAUAGGUUGUAAAGGGGAAGGGGAAAGGAGUCUCUGGUUCAUAGUCUGAGUUGUUUUAAGGGAAUGGAUGCCAUAGGGCACUUCUUGAACUGUUUCUGGGAGACUUUUCACACAUUUAAGGUGUGCAUCCAGUAUACAAGUAUACAGUAAACCUAUAAAUGAUCCACAAAUGGGGCAACAAUCAUGUGUUUGCAAAGAGAAGUAUCAUACAUCAUAUUAUAUCACACAAGUAUCCCCAUCAAGUAGCUAAGAUUAGCUAAAACUCUUUGUAAAGUGUGUGUGUGUGUGUGUGUGUGUGUGUGUAUGCAUGUAUGUAUGCAUGUAUGUAUUCAGUGGCGUAGCGUGGGUUGUCAGCACCCGGGGCAAGGCAAGUAAUUUGCGCCCCCUAACCCGUGGAUUUGCGCACCCUAAUCCUAACCCCCAGAUGUUGUGCCCGGUACGGCCGGCCCCCCUGCACCCCCCACACUACGCCACUGCUCUAGGCAGCGAUGCUUCCACCCCCUGGAAACAGCAGGAAGGGAGAGUGCUCUUGUGCCCCGGUCCUGCUUCUCAUUGACGCGUCUGCUUGGCCACUCUAGAUGGGCCCUUGUGGCCUUGAUCCAGUAGCCGGGUCCUUCUUCGGAAAGAGCGAGCGCCUCCGAAGCAUGUGCAGAGCGCCUUCCUCUGCCCCCGCCACGCGGAGCUCAGCCUGGGCGUGGGCAGGCCCUUUGCGUCACACGCGCUUGGCAAUCCCCGGCACCUCUCCUCUCCUCUCUCUCUCCCUGGAGAAAUGAAGCAGUGACCCGACAAGGAGUAGCGAAGGAUGGGCGUGUUUCGUCCCUGAUCCGGAUGAGAUCAAGGCGCCGGCAACGGGAAGGAGGCGGGGGAGAAGCAGGAGCAGGCCAGCCAGGGAUCUCUCCCAUCGCCGCUGGAGGGGUCAUGGAGGCACUGAGCCUGGGAGGCGGGUAGCCAGCCAGGGCGCACCUACCCAACCUCGCCGCGCCCAGGCGCGCUGCUCUCUCCAGCUUCCUCCCGGCCGGGCCAGCGGCUCCACCUCUUCCUUUGCCUCUUUGAGCCGCUUAAUUCCCAGCAAGCGAUUAGCAGGCUCGGAUCGGAUCCUGCGGCAGGCGGCGCCUCCACCUCCUCCUCCUCCCGGCUUUGCUGCUGCUGCUGCGUGGCUCUUUUCCCUCCACCGACGGCGCGCUGCGCCUUGGAGAGGUUCCCGCUUCCUCGAGGGGGGCCGGCCAAACGGAGACGACGACCCCCCACCCCAAACAAGCCUCGAUUGCUUGUCCCUUCCCUCUGGACUCAUGCCCCCCCCCGAUGUUGCGCCCGGUGCGGCCGGCACCCCUGGCACCCCCCACGCUACGCCACUGUAUGUAUUAGAAAAUGAGAAAUUGUUCAUUGCCUCUGAAUGGUUUGUGAUACCUCUGGACCAGGCUGCAAUCCUAACCCCAACUCAUCUGGAAGAAAGCCCCACUGGAUUCAAGAAGACUUGUAUUUGAGUACACAUGGUUAGGUUUUUAUUUUACUUGAUCUCCAUAACAUCUGAAUUCUCUCAAAGCUGGGGAGCUAUGGAUUGACUCUAGGCAGUAUGCCUUCUUCCAGCUCUUCUAAUCAUUGCAUUCUCCACAAAAGGAGCAGAGGUUUCAGGAAAGUUCUCAAAGGGCCGAAGUGUUUCCAUGGCAGCAUUUCUAUCUUUAGGGUAAUUCUCUUAAGGCAGAGAUAGGGUCCUUCUCUCCAUCAUCCCCCAAAGACUCAUUAUCUCCUUUCUAAGGUGACUUUUUUAAUAAUAAUAAUAAUAAUUUAUUACGGCCGUAGGCCCAUACAGGUGACUUUUUUAAAAAUCAGACUCAGAACCUAAAAGGUAACUCAAGGCUGGUUGCAUAAUACACAUACACACAAAAGUUGAGGUCUGUUUUCCUGAAAUACACUUCCUCAUUGAAAACACUAUAAAUCUGGUUGUAUCAGAUUCACACACACACAGCUGACUUGUCAUUGCUUCUCCUUUCUAUGCAUAAACACUAUUGGGAAGCAACUGAAUGCCUAUCCCUAUGUGUGAACUAAUAACCAAUUAUUAGAGAAAACAGAGUUGCAGGUGUGAACUUUAACCAAAACUUGAUUUAAAAAUCAAGUUUAAAUACUGGGGACACCUGUACAGAAGUGGUUUGCUGGGUGGGGCAGAACCCCUAUGCUAGCUCCCAGCAGGUGGUUCAGUGUUGCUUACCAGGAGGGAGGGACAAUAUAGCAAGGAGGUCAGUGUGGUGCAAAUGCACCAGCAGAACCAACCCAGCACACCUGUCAUGCAUUUGAACCAGACUAACCUCCCUGCUACCUUGUGUCUCUCAAUCAACAAUGGUGAUCCACCUGCCAUGAAGCUAGUGGAGUGACUCCACCUCACUCAGUGAGCCACUUCUGGGUUUGUUUCAUGAUUCUGCGUAUCCAAGCAGAAGCCCACGUCCGUGUGAACAUAGGAGGAUGUUCACUGGUAAAAAAAUGUAAGAGUGAAAUUUAAUGAAAAUUCUCUUAAUCUUUCACUUGCUGCUUACCACUUGUUUGGAGCUUCUUCUUCCUUUGAACUCCAACUUCAAUAUGAUUUCUGCUUAAACGGGUUCUUUGUAAGACACGAGUUGCUAAAUAUUUGGGCUUGGUUGCCUAAAUAAUGAGAAACUGUAGUCAGCAUGACACAUACACCACAACCCUAGACCCACUGCAACCACACAUGCAUGCAUGUACACAUGACAACCACACAUACAUGCACACACUCAAUUUCCCCCUUCUGCUUGAAAAAUGUGUGUUUGCUCCCCGCCCCCAGGUUGAUCUUCUUGGAGACUGCAGCUGGGGAGGCAAGAGUUAACCUGCACUCAGCAAACUGCAAGGAAGAUCACACACAGCCUAUGCAACAACUACAUCAUUAGAGAACUUUCCAGAGAGGGGUGGGGUCACAGCCAGAAAGAUAAAAGUCAAGCCUUAUUCCCCAGUUGCAACCCUCAAAAUUGUUAUUAGGCUUCAUUUUUAGUUUUAGUUUUGUAAUAAAAAAAACCUCCCAUCUUACAUUAGCCCUAAUAUUUAGAGAAGAGAACGCAUUCUAGUUGAAAAAGGUAUGUCGUUAAUCAGUAAGAUUGCCUCCUGAAAUUUAUUUAAUGAGUUUUUGCAAUACUUAAGGGGAUGCAACUGGAAACAAUUAAAAGAUCAGUGGUAUGUACAAUUUGUGCUACAGUACAUUUGCUAUGCGGUAUGUGGGCGAAGGUUAGUUAAGAAGAUAUUAACUUUUGACAUUUUAGCAACAGGCGUGUGGCAAACUCUGUUAAUAAGAACAUCCUCAUCCCUGUAAUUUUAGACCACUUUGGGGACUGUUGAGCUGUAAGUGUGAUCCAUUGAUUUGCAAAAAUAAAUCAAAGAGCCAGGACUUGCACAUGUGUGGGUUAAACAGCCCUUCAACUUUUGGUCACAUUAAGUAAAGGCUAUAAUAGCUCAAUGAGGCAAAGACGGCCUGCUGACAUCACACAAGGUUUCACUGUUCUUUGCUACAGUGCAUGUUAGCUCCUGCAGUGAAUUCUCAUCCCUGCUAGUGUGAAAGCCUCCCAGCAGAGCCUCAUGACAGAUGUGAAAUAAAUGUGGGAUUUAGCUCUGAUGUAACAUAGAAUUGUAGGUAAGAUGCAACCACGACUAUAAAUGCUAUUUUUUAAGGACAAUGUCCCACAUAUCAGCAGGUCUGUGUUUUUGGACUUGUAUAAAUGAGAUGGGCACUACCUGAAAGGGAAGAUUAUAGUAUCUGAGAAACCUGCAGCUUUUCACCUGGAAGCUAACCCCCCCUCCGAAAAAAAGGUUCAUUUUUUCAUGGGAAGUAGUGCCAUUUUCUUUUUUUGAGGGAGUCAUUUGGGUCUUUACAAAGAGUAGCACCUGUGGGAAGAUUUGGAUUGCGGCCAAGGGGAUCAAAACUCUGGCCAUAUGCCUUGGGAGAGGGUGAGUCUGCAGUAGGAAACAGAACAGGGGAAGUGUGUGUGUUUUAAAAAAAUAUAUACUUGCCUGCUAUCCAUGUUUGUUAUUUACUUUCAAUGUCAGGAAUCCAAACAGAUCACAGAGCCUUGUGCAUUCCCUUUAAGCCACCCUGCCAAUAUCAUCAUGCUGCUAUACAAAUACGUGAUACUAUAGAGUUGUAAAAAGUUUAGACAGAAUGCUCAAGGGGGUUGAUCAACUGCAGUGAAGCAGAGCACCUCCGUAGCAACUCCCACAAGGUGAAGCCACUUCUGCUAUUGAAGCUCAUCUACGGAGCAUUGUGAGAUAAGCUGCAGGCAGGAAGGGUUUGGGAUUCCCAUCCAUGUGCCCCUUUUGUUCUAAAAAUUGUCCCUUGAUGUAUACAUGAUUGGACAGAGCUGGGCAUGAACAAAGGGGUUUGCUGUCUUCACAUCUAAACUGGCCCUCAGUUUUGACCUAUUUUUAAAGCCACAUUUCCAUACCUGUUCCCACCAUCUGGUGGGCAUAUUGAUAGUGAACAAUAAUUACUUAAUGGCAAUGUUGUGUCUGUAAUCAGAUUGGCAUGAAGAGAUCUCUGAAAGUAGGUUUUAUCUUAGCAAGACAGCCUACUGUAACACAAAUGUACUAUUGCAUUUCAUGCCUCAGAAGUGAUUGAAUCAAUAAUUGCAUCAUCCAAGAACUGGAAUAAAUUAUUCAUGCUAGCCAUUUUGGAUAUUAACAUACAAGGCAGGUGGAGACCUUGUGUAAUCCUGAUCCUUGUUUAGAUGCGUAUUAUCUUAAAGUUGUGUACUCUGGCUAUAAAUGAACUUACAUACUGUACAGAGUUUGUGAAAAUGUGACUCUUCAUUUUAGUUUUUUACUAUAUUUCAUUCCCAUUCUUUUCUUUACUGAUAUCUUUACCUGUCAGAUGUGAUCAUACACCUUUUAACACACUUUUAUUCGCAUAGUGUUUAGCAUGGGAAUUGUGGUAAAUUUCAGGUCUGCUAAGUGCUCACUGUAUUAGCUGAAGCCAGGUAAUAUAAUAAAUAAAUGUUUCCUAAAACUGUACAGCAGAAUUUCUCACAUUUUUCAGCCUAGUGAGCUUGGGGAUGUCUCCCACCACUUUUCACUGCACAACUGUGCUAAUUUAGCACUCUUGCCAAUGGGUAUGUUAGAAAGAUGUGAACAUUUUCCGCACAAUGGCCAAAAGGUCAGAAAGUGCCAUUGCUUUGCCGACCAGCCUCUAUACACCCAUCUAGGGCUGAUCACCAGCUGAGAAAUGGCAAUGAAGAGGAUGCUUCAGUGAGCAAUUAUAAUUGGAUCUAUUUUGAGGCAUGCUUGACAAGCUGUGCUGAGCCACAGCAGUGAGUCUCCUUAUGCUGGUUGGGAAGUACUGUUCUACAGAACUCAGCUGGUGACUAUGUUCAAAAUGUGACUCUGCUAUCAUACACCAUUAAAAUGAUCAGCCCUAUCUAGUUGCUGCAAUAUCCAUGCAGGGCUCCAAAAGAGCAGGGAUGUCCCAUCCUGAUGUGAGGAACAGCUUGGUCUGCACAUCCACCUUGCUCAUAUGAAGUCUUCCAAGCAUCAAAGAGAAUAGAAGCUCUGUUUGUAGAGCACGCCAUUUUAACACUUAGGCCCUAUUGAGCUUUGAAUCGUUGUCAGCAUUAUAACGUGUUGAAGAAAACAUAUCCUGUAGUACUAGUUUUAGUAGAAAUAAAUGCAGGUGCAGAGAACCAAGUGAUAGGAAGUUCUUCUGAUCUCAGUAAUAUCAAAGGAAAAAUCAAAAUGGCCAUUGAUGUGUAAGGAACAAUUUUCCCUGAUGCAAUAUGUGAAGCAGAAUUAUAUAAAUUCUACCAAAUUUUGUUGGGUGAGAAAACAGCAGCUCUUAAUUUCACCCCUUAUUUUUUACCAGCACUUGGGAAAUGUUUGCACAUAGCCUUGGUUGUCCAUCUACACAAGGAACCUAGGAGUGAACCCUGCGGUAGUGCAUCUCCCACUCUGUGUAUACCCUGUAAGAACAAGGGGAGGUCAUGUGACACUGCAAAUAGGGCCUGUGCACAUAGGCCUAGUAUCAUGAUGUUGUAUACACUAGGGAGGAGAUUGUGAGCCUGAAGGUUUUUCUCACACUCCACUGCAUUGAUAGCCUACAAUAAUAAUCAUAAUAAUCAUAAUAAUUUAUACUCCGCCCAUCUGGCUGGGUCAGAUCAUGUGCAAGACAGCCAACAUGGUGCUCUCCAGAAGUUUGGACUCCAGCUCCCAUCAUCUCCAGCCUAUAGUCAGGAAUGAUGGGGACUGGAGUCCCCAGCAACUGGAAGACACCAGGUUGACUACCUCCCUUUGGCACGAUUCCCAAAGGGAAUGUGCUGGAGCAACUGUCACAGGCUUCUACUGGAAAUUCAUUGCGAUACUACUAAUGAUGAGCCACACAGCCCAAUUUCUUCACCAUUUGGAUAACUUCAAGAUUUUAGAUGUUGCUUUUUUAUUCUUCAGUGAACAUAUAUUCCUCCACUAUAGAACCUAAUGAAUAUUAUGUAUGUCACACCUCUGCUCAAUAAUCUGCAGUGAUUGCUAAUUUGUUUCUGGGCAGUUUCAAAGUUUUACUGUUAGUAUAUCCAGCUUAAGACAAGCUUACUUGCCCCAUACAUACCUAGCCAACUGCUUCUGCCUGUGGAUCUUGCACAUGGUGAAGUGCCAUAUGAUGUUUGUUCUGCAUCUGUUGGUAAUUUAUUGUGGCAGCAUCUUCUUUGUUUCAGCUAGCCUAUUCAUGCACAAAAUUUUGUUAUGUAUACUUGUUUUUAAUGUUUGCCGAUUUUAUGUUUACUGUUGAUAAUUGUUGUAUGUAUACUUCUUAGAGGGUUCUUUUAAUUAAGUGGUUUAUAGUUCUUUCUUAAACAAACAUUUUUAAGUAUUCAAAGCAAUUCACACUCUUCGUUUCGGUAACCCUAUUAUCAGCAUUUUACAAAUGGCAGAGGGGCUGACACUGCUGAGUUGGGUGGCUGGCCCAAGACUUUGCUCUUUCAGCAGUAUUGUUUUUCCUUUGCCACUUUAAUGUUUUCUUGUGGGGGCAGUUUUUAAGAUUCUUUGGCAGCUUGGCAUUUCCUCCACCCCUCCUCUUUUAUGGACUAUGCAGCCAUGCAGAUAUUUAUAAAAAGAUGGGGCAGAUCUCAACACAACAAGGCCAUUCACUCAUUCAUUAUAUGCAUGUAGAUAUGCUACUAUUGUCUCCAGAUUCAGGCUCACAGGAGUGUCGUGGAUAGUAUAAUAAUGUUAGGGUGCAUUUUUUAGAAUGUGAAAAAGCCUUCACUGGGAAAGUGGGAGGUAUUAUUGUAUACUGAUUUUCUAUAUGAAUUUCAUUUCUGAGUGAAAGGGGGAAAAUGAGUGAAUUCUGAAAAGAAUUUUCCAGCAUCGCAGUACACCAAUGCAGCCAUUAUGGAUAUUUAUCACUGCGGCAAACGUAUAAUUAUGUUAAAGUAUUGCAAUUUUCAUAGCAAAAAUAAAUAAAUAAAUGCAGGGAAGAUUGUUUUUGUCUUAUAAGUGCACACCAUUGUUGAGAAUUCCAGCCACUUUUACUGUAUAUCUAAUUCUGUUCCCUUUUGUUUAAGCUGGCAGGAUUCAUCUAUGCCUGUUAUGUUGUGAAAUGUAUCACCGAAGAAGAGG